ACAAAUCCUAUCUUAACAUGCUUAAGACCAUCAAAAUCUGAUUUAUAUCUUCAAAAAAUCUUCUUUUACUUUUCCUAAGACCUUUUAAAUCCUAACUUGACACGCUUAAGAUUUUUUUUUUUUUUUUAACAAAACUUGUAUUUGUUAAUUUUCUUAUAAAUAUUAUUUUUAUAAAAUAUUAACAAUUUAUUUUUACUAAAACAUUUAGAUAUUUUAGUUAUUUUGGAUCUUCAUUUAGUAAUGCUAUUAAUUUAGCAUUGUAUUUAGAUGCAUUUCUUUUUCUUUAAAAAUAAAUAAAUAAAUAAAAAGUAAACCUCAAUACAAAAAAUAUAAAUUUACCUGAUAUAUUUAAAAAAAAUUAAAUUCGAGGCAAUAAAGGUUUUUUUUAUGCCUUAAAUUUUAUAAACAAUUUUUAAAACCAUUAUUUUUUUUAACAUAAACCUUUAAAAAUAUCCUAUAAAAAAAGUUAUUACUCUUUUUUUAUUUUAAAAACAAAAAAUAAGAAAUUUAUUGAAACACUUGUAAGUUAUUUUUUUUUAUAUUUGUAUAUAUUUAUUCAUAUUAGGUGAUUUGAGCUAACCCUAUCAAUAAUCAACAAGAAUAUUCACUUUUAUUUAAUUUUAAAUAUUAUAAUUCAAAUAUUGCUCCUCCUAACAAUUUUUUUUUUUUUUAGAUUCAAACUAUUCAUUUUCUUAUUUUACAACAUUAUUAUUGUAACAAUUUGUAUUCAUCAUGUAGAUAUUAUCCGUUUUCGAUCAUUUUUCUCACGAUUUUAAAACACGUUUAUAUGGUAAAGAAAAACUCAUACAUAUGCAAUAUUAGGAACUUUUUUUCCGGAUAUCACAAUUAUUAUUAUUAUUAUUGUUAUUAUUAUUAUUAUAAAAUGAAUUUGGAAAAAGACGGGAUAUAAUAAGUGUAAGUGGGUAAGUAGCACUUGAGACAUAAAAUUUAGUUAGUUAAAUAAUGAUUGAACAGGUGGACCGUUGGACUAAUGAAUCCCACUGCCUUGGCUCCAACCACUGACCACUAAGCACUAAUCAAAAAAGUGUGCUGGCUGCUGCAAACAUGCAUGGGCCUUGUAAAAUAGCUGUCCAAUCCAACAAACUCAGAAAAACACAUUGCUCUUUAUCCUAGUUGCCGAGACUCGAGAGUCAAGGUCCGUAUAAGCAAGAAGACACCCUGUCCUAACAUGUAGGCCACCACCCACGGUCCCACCCUUCACCUAUUCAUUCCUGCUUGCUCACGUUAUGCCCAAAAUUCCGGAAAUGGCCAUAAAGGAAAUGCCCACAUCAACCUACCACGCAAAAAAGGAAAAAACAAGGAAAACGAUUUGAUUUUAAUUUCAUUUCCAUUUAAAAGGUUUAGAAAAGUAAAAUGUUGUUUGUUUUUUUUAGAACUUAAAACUUAGUUUAAUAAGGCUAAGUAUUAAGUACUUUUUUUGUUUUUUUUAAAAAAAGCAAAUGAUUAUUCAUUUGCUUCCAAAAAAAAAUAAGGAAUUUUUUGGGAAUCCUACAACAUUCAUUCGUUUCUUCUUUUUCUUUGAUAGAUGAUAAGAGUUUUAUUUGGGUUUGAAUCCUAUUGGAGGUCCAUUAGAGAUUAGAAAUUAUUGAAAAAACAACAAAAUAUUGUCCCAUGAAAACAAAGAAAUAGUUAAUAUAUUCAACAUGAUUACAUUACAAAAUACUUAUAUAUUAUUUUAGCAUUCACGUUUUUUUUAAAAAAAAUUAAAAAUUAAGUAAUAAAUUAACAAAAAGUAAAAAAAAAAAAAAAAAACCACAAACUUUCAGCAAAUUGUUAACAAAUCUUAAAAAAUCAUAAUUUUUUUAAAACUAUCUAAAAAAUAAAAAAUUUAAAAAUUUGAAGAUAUAAAAUAAAUUCAUGUUUUUAUAUAAAAGUUAUUAUAUUUUAUAUACAAAUUAUUAUUAUUUUAUAUUUUUAAAAAUAAAAAAUAAACAAUGUAUCCAAAUAAACAUUAAAAUUUUUAUUUUACAUUCAAGUAUUAAAAAUAAGAUUUAAAAUGGAUGAGAAUUGAAUAUUUUUUUUUUAAAAAAAUAAAGAAACCUAAAUGAAGCUUUAGAAAAUUCCAUAACUCAACCCAUUAAGACCAUAUUAGGGCUUGAAGAUUCCAAUACAAGAAAUCAUGUAUAUGAUUGGCCAAUGAAAGAAGAAAAGAAAAAAUAAAAAAAAAAAAGACAGAAAAGGAAAGAGUAGUCCAAAAUGCAUGUGGGGAGGUUUUUGGCUGGUUCAAUGCACCCAAAGAAGCCACCAUACAUUCCCUGUCUAGCCCACAUGAAGCAAACCCUACAAAAGUGUCCACAUGGCCAUAUGAUUUUUCAUUAAUUUUUAUUUUAUUUAUUUAUGUUGCUGGGGCACCAUAUGAUUACUUGCCAAACCCAUCCACAUGGGGAGUCAAAUCAUUUGUCAACUGUCAUUGCUCAAUUUUUCAUCAUGGCCCAUUAAUAAUCUUUGAAAGAAUUCAUGUUUUUUUUUUUGUUAAAUAUUUCCCUAAUUUACUGUUUUUUCCUCCAUUAAUAUUCACUGUAAUACUUUAGUAAGUCUUCCCAAUUUCUACCCUUUCCCACCCUAAUAAUAGAAAUAUUUUACUAAUUUACUAUUUUUUUCUCAUUAUUUCUGUUUCACAUCGAUUCUAUAUUGCUCUUAGUCUAAGAAAAUGUUUUUGAAAAAAAAAUGUAGAUGUUGGAUAAAUUUUAAAAAACACUUUUAAAUAUUUAAAAGAUUAUUUAUAUUAUUAGAAAAUCAUUUAUAAUGUUUUUUUUAUAAACAUACUAAAUUUUAUUAACAAUGAUUUUAAAAAGCAUUUUUGAAAAAAAAAUUAAAUGUUUUGUUAAAAAUCACUUUGAAAAAUCUAUAAAAUUAUUUAUAGGGUUGAAAAAUCACUUGUAAUGAUGCUGAAUAAACGUACAUUUAAUAGUGAUUUUAAAAAAUGUUUUUAGUUUUUCUAACAUUUGAAAUUUUUAUUUUUUAAGUAUUAGAAAUGUUAAAAAUAUUUUUCAAAAUCAUUACUAAAUGCAUUAUAAGAUAAUGUUUAGUAAUGAUUUUAGGAAGUGUUUCUAACUUUUAUAAUACUUUUAAAAUACAUUUUUAAGCCUUACAAUUUUGGAAACACUUUAUAAGAUCACUAUCAAACACACUCUAAGAGUAUAUUUGACAAUGAUUUUAGUAUUUCUAACAUUUAAAAAUAUUUAUUUUUUUAAAUAUUAAAAAUAUUAAAAACACUUCUUAUAAUCACUGUCAAAUACAUUUUAACUAUUCUUUUAAAAACACUUUUUUACAAAUCAUUUUCACUAAAAAUAUUUUAAAUAAAAAUACCACCAAAUACACUCUUUAUACAUUAUUUUCCUAAAAAAAUGCUUUCAAAUGAAAUAUUUCAAAUAAAAACACUACGGAAUUCACUCUAAUAUUUCCUAUAUUACUUUAAUAAAGUUUCCUGAUUUCUAGCCCUUUCCUCCCUAAUUAUGAUCCUUGACGUUGGCAAAAAAAUAUGAAAAAGUAUACCAAGGACAAAUUAUAUAGUUAUGAUUAUUUCUUUUGUCUUCAUUGAUUAUAUGUUUUUUUUUUAUCUCAUUCAAAUCUCAAAUCCAAUCUCAUGACCUUUUAAUANNNNNNNNNNNNNNNNNNNNNNNNNNNNNNNNNNNNNNNNNNNNNNNNNNNNNNNNNNNNNNNNNNNNNNNNNNNNNNNNNNNNNNNNNNNNNNNNNNNNAAAUCCAAUCCUAAAUCAACCAGCUCAUCCAUGCCCAUCAUUAUUUAACCCACCAACUCCACCUAGACUCAUGGUUUGCUUUUGAUGUUCUUCAUGGAUAGUGUACGGACAAAUACUCGAUCCUAAAAACCCAAAAAAGAAAAGGCAUUUGGCAAAAGUUGGAUUGAUCAACAAAUAAUAAGAUGCCGAUUAUUUUAUGCAUCAUCCAAUUAUAAGAUAAGAUCCAAAAUUAAACAAGAUAAAAUGAUAUCACUAUUGUCAUCAAAUUUGUGACAUUCCAUGCUAGGUGAUGGAUGAAGAUGUGGACUCAAUAGAUUUUUUAUGCCACCUAGCAAUGACCAUGACCCAUUGGCCCAAAAUCUUGUUUUGCUUUUCAUUGCCAAAUGUUUCUUUAAUGCGUGGGAUUUGCCCACCUUUUUGCCACCAAGUAUAUGCCUUUCUUCACCAACUCAUCUACAAAAAUGCCCCUUCCUUCUUUAUUACUUUUGUUAUUUUUUUUAGAGAGACGAAUGCUUUGAUAUUUGGAAGGGAUUUGCUCAUGCAGGUUUUUGAAAUUUAAGAGCUUAUUUCAAGGUCUUAAGUUUAUCAUAAAAACUUAAUUUUGACUUAUAUAAUUAUUUUUUUUAAUUAUAAUUUUGGGUUUAAUUUUUUACUUUAAGUUAAAACAAAAAAUUAAGACCGAAGGAUUAAAAAUUAAAUUAAUUUUCAAUAUGUACUAUUAAUAGGGCCUAAAUUCAAUUAAUAAUAUGAAGUGUAGAAUGAUCGGGGCCUUAAAAAUUAAGGGUGAGAAGACAUCCAUACUUUGAAAAUCACCAUUUAGUGCAGCUAUGGUGUUUGGUGAAAUGCUUAAAAGAGGGUAAAUUCCAAAAAGUUAAAAAUUUUGCAUGCUUAAAUAAAAAUAGUUGCGGACUAAAGUCUAAAACCCAAAAAUGAAAUCAUUUCAUUUUAAAGGUACAUUAAAAGCCAGACCUCUCUAUCAUCCGGUCAAACUCCACAAACAGCGACAGUGUCAUAAUCGUAAAUAAAUCCUGAAACACGGGCACUAGAAAAGCCAUAUUUUCAGACAAUAGAUACAGUGACAGGAGCGAUAUAUAAGUCUUCACUCUCCAUUUUCGCUCUGCUUUCUCUCCCUGUCCACUCCACACACAAAUCACCGUCUCUGAAACUCUAACGCUUAGAUCUGAGCGCACAAACCCCACAAACCCUAGCUCCAACCACGAUCUGGGUCAGCAUUAUCUGCUUCGUCUCUGAUUUUAUCAUUUAGUUGCAACUCCUCAUUCUUUACUCUUUAGAGUGGCUGUUUCUGGGUUCUUUUGUUCAAUGCUGUUUGGUUACUGGGUCAGGCUUGUUCAGGGGAGAUCCUGUGUUUUUUUUUGAAGUUGUUCAUUUUUUGGUUGUGGUUUAUGUAGGGUUAGGGGUAGUAUUGGUGUGGAUUUUUUCCUACUGCGGGUUUACAGAUGUAAUUUGAUUUGUUUGUCGGGGUUGAGUGGGAUGGUUGGGUGGUAGGUUGUUCGUUGUUGAGAAAAUGGUGAAAGUGUGCGGAAAUUGGGAGUUUGGAUUUGUUGUUACCGGGAUCUGAGAGAACAUAACCUCCCUGGACUUGGUGUUAUGAGUUUGUGAUUCUGUUUUUAAUGACCUAAUUUGGUGUAUUAAUUGGGUUUCAGUGGGAUGAUCUAGUAGUACUCUGUUUGGUUCCUGAGAAAAUGGCGGAAAUAUAAAGAAAUUGGGAGUUUGGAUUUUUUGUUGUUAGGAUCUGAGAGAAAAAACUUCAUAUCUUGGGGUUUGGGGUUGUUGUGCUUCUUGACGGUGAUGGAUGGAUGAUUUAGGGUUGGUAAUUGUGAUAAGUACAGAAGGUUGAUGAUAGUGACUGAUGGACAUCUUUAUAAAAUUAAGGGGUGGGUUUUUGUGUUUUGCUUGAUUGAGGAGUUUGUGAUUUUGUUUACUGCUAUAUUUUGGUCAGUCAAUUGCCUUCUGAGUAAAGUGAUCUAGUAGGCGUCUACUUGGCUGCUAACAAAAUGCGGGAAAUGAAAAGAAAUUAGAAAUUUGUUAGUUGGGAUCGGAAGACUAAAACCUCCUGACUUUGGGAUUUCGAGGUUGUUGUGCUUCUUGAUUAUGAUUGAUAUAAAGCUUACAGGUAGUGAGUGUGAUAAGUAUAUGACAGUGAUUGAUAGACCUUUUUUGAUAUUAAAAGGGUGGGUUUUUUUAUCUUUAGUUCUAUAAGAUGGUUAGUUUAUUGGUUGAGUAGAGUGAUCUAGUAAAGGUCUAUUUGGUUGCUGAGAAAAUGCAGGAAAUGAAAGGAAAUUACAUUUUUGUUUAUUUUUAUUGUUUGGGGUCUGAGAAAACAGAAUCUACAGCUGAAUUGGAGUUUUGAGGUUCUUUGUGAUUCUUGAUUGUGAUGGAUUUAAGGCUUAGGACUGGGGAUUGUGAUAAGUGAAGAAGGUAAUGAAAGUCAUUGACAGAUAUUUGUGUGAAAUUAAGGGCUUGGGGUUGGGUUUGGGUUUCUUGAAGAAGAUUGUGCUUGUGUUUUUAGUGCUAUAAUUUGGUUAGUUGAUUUUGAGUAGAGUGAUCUAAUAAUGGUUGGUUUUGUUGCUGAAAAAGUGUAGGAAUGAAAAUAAAUUAGAAUUUUGGAUUUUUUUAAAAUGAUCUGGGAUACAAGAGAACAGAAUACACAUCUUUGGGUUUUCACUCUGUUGUGGCACCUGAUUUGAUGGAUUUAUGGUAUGUGGGUAGUGGUUGUGAUAAUGUAGGGGUCAAUGACAUUGAUUGAUGGGCAUUUUUUGCGAGAAUGAGGGGUUCAGAUUAUCAUUGAUCAAGUAGCGUGGUUUGGGUGGAGUGAUCUAGUAAUGGUCUGUUUGGCUGCUGAGAAAAUGUGGGAAAUGAAAAAAGGAAGUAGAAAUUUGAAAUUUUUUUGAAGUUCCAUUUGAGAGAACAUUACGUCUUCUGAUGGGUUUUGAGUUUGUCUUGCUUCUUGAUUGUGAUGACUGUACGGAUCCUGGGUAGUGAUUGAUGCAUAUUUUAGUAAUGGGGUGGUUUUAUUUGAUUCUCAUUUAGUGGUUACAAAGUUUAUAGCUUUUUUGUUCUUAGUUCUAUAAUUUGGUAAAUUGAGUAGGUUUUAGUAGAAUGAAUUACUAUCCCCUGUUUGAUUGCUGGGUAAUGCUGGAAAAGAAAGGCAUUAAAAUUUUGAAUUGGCUUUAUUUUUUUUAUUACCUUUCUUUCCAGAAUCUCAGAAAACAUGCUUUUGUUUUGGGACAACCAAAACCUCAUAAAAGAUGAGUGCUAAAUCCAGUCUUCUUGGUUACCAAAGAAAAUUUCAGGUUAAACUGUUUUGAAACUUACAAUCUAAUAAUACUGUUUUCCAUUUCUUUUAUUAUUGAUAAGAAAUGCUUGGUGAAAUCUGAUUUGGAACUAAUUCAUGUGCCAGAUUUAGUAUCAAUUUGAUAAGAUGAAGUACUUGUUAAUUAAUUUAUUUUGGGCUAUCAUUUUUUUUUCUCAAAGAAAUGAUAUUGACAUAUAGUCUGCCCUCUGGUGGAUUUUGAUUCCAUCAUGCAACCAGAGAGGUUCUGCAGUAGAUCUGCUUUAAGCCUAUAUUGACACAUUGACACUCAACUGUAUCUUAUAUAUAUAUAUAUAUAUAUAUAUAUUUUCACUCAUGUUUCAGCUGUAAGGGGGUGAGUGUCUCUUUCCUGUACAUCUUUGGGUCUCUAUUUUAGCGCCUCGUCGUAAUACAAUAUUUUUACUUAUUUAUAAAAUAUAUAUAUAUAUAUUUAUUUUUUUUCAACAAGCUCUGUGUCUAGGUGAGCUUGAGCUUUGAAUACAGGGCCCACCAAUUUUGUCUCAUCUUUCCUUUUUCGAUUUUCUGGAUGCACUGUUAGUAUUGUUUUAUGCGACUUCUUGGUCAUUGUCCUGACUGUUUGUUUGGUCUUAUUCUAUCAACACACUGACAGGAGUUUAUGUUAUGUGGUCAUUUGUACUGACUAUUUGUUUGGUCUUAUGUAAUGGAUGNNNNNNNNNNNNNNNNNNNNNNNNNNNNNNNNNNNNNNNNNNNNNNNNNNNNNNNNNNNNNNNNNNNNNNNNNNNNNNNNNNNNNNNNNNNNNNNNNNNNGUUAUGCUUAUGUUGUGGAGUGCUGUUUCUUGCUGGUUAGUAAGGUAAGCAUGGUUCUGUGUUUAUGACAUGCAUGUCAUAUCUGUUAUGUAGUUAGAAAUGCUUUGGGUAUGUAAAUGUGUACAUACAUGUAUAUAAUGAAUGUCUUUCGAAUGCUAUUUGCAGGUUGGAUUGUAGUAUUAACGUAAAUGGCAGUGGCAGAUGCUGAAAUUCCUCUCCUUGGAGAAACUACUUGUGGUUCAUUGCUGCAGAAAUUGCAGGCAAUUCAUACUUAAAAACUUCUUUGGUCAUUGUUUACUUUGUGAUAUAUUAGUGUUAUAAGUAGACCUUGCAUACUGAGGAACAGGGCAAAUACGCUAAAUGCUGUAAACCAUGGUUUAAUGCAGCAAAUCUGGGAUGAGGUUGGUGAAAGCGAUGAGGAACGUGAUAAAAUGCUCCUUCAGUUAGAGCAAGAGUGCUUGGACGUUUAUAAGAGGAAGGUUGAUCAGGCUGUGAAAUCGAGAGCACACCUUCUUCAGGCCUUGGCAGAUGCCCAACUUGAACUCUCCCGUCUUCUAUCAGCACUUGGAGAGAAAAGUUUUGUUGGAAUUGUAAAUAAUUUUACACUUAUCAUAUUGAAUGGGUUGUAUGCUUGAUGGCUGUAAAGCUUGGUUGCUGAUGGAUUUCUUUGCUUUGGUUUACAGCCUGAUAAAACUUCUGGCACAAUCAAGGAACAGCUUGCAGCUAUAGCACCGACGCUCGAACAGCUGUGGAAACAGAAAGAAGAGAGAGUGAAGGAGUUUUCUGAUGUACAGACACAGAUUCAAAAGAUAUGUGGAGAAAUUGCUGGGAACUCAAAUCUUAGUGAGGUUCCUGUGGUUGAUGAGGCUGACCUAUCCUUGAAGAAGCUGGAUGAAUUUCAGGGCCAACUCCAAGAACUCCAGAAAGAAAAGGUAAAAUUAUAGAUCAGUUCACACUAUAUUAGUUAUGGACUUUUAUGCUAGCCCAUAUGUCUUCAGGAUCACCACCAAUUAAUUAUUUGAUCUGCCAGAGUGACAGGUUGCACAAGGUCCUUGAGUUUGUGAGCACUGUUCAUGAUCUAUGUGCUGUCCUUGGGAUGGACUUCUUUAAUACUGUUACUGAAGUUCAUCCUAGCUUAAAUGACUCAACUGGUGUGCAAUCCAAAAGCAUUAGCAAUGACACCCUUUCUAGGCUGGCUAAGACAGUCUUAGCACUAAAGGAAGACAAGAAGCAGAGGCUACAGAAGGUAAAAUUUUUAGUGUUCCUGCUUUACCUGGUUAGUAUUGUGCGAAGAGUUAAUCGGUAGUUCAUCAUUUUGCUUUAGAUUUUUCAUACAUGGAUGCUCUGGGAGCCAAUGUCCUGGAGAUUUUGCAUCUCAUCUCAUUGUUCUCUUAAAUUAAUCUAUAAUUCUUAUCCUUUCAAUGUCUUGUUGUCUAUAUAUUUCAGCCUCUUUGUCCCCUAUUCAUAUGAGAUCUAUAUAUGUUUUUUCGCUUUGAAAAUCACUGCACCUGUUGGUUGCUACGACAAAAUGAAUUAUUCUUUGAUGUGUCUCCUCUCCACAGCUUCAAGAGUUAGCCACUCAGCUAAUUGAUCUGUGGAAUCUGAUGGAUACCCCAGAGGAGGAGCGGAGUUUGUUUGAUCAUGUUACCUGUAACAUAUCUGCUUCAGUUGAUGAAGUGACCAUCCCUGGUGCCCUUGCUCUGGAUCUGAUUGAGCAGGUAUUUGGCUUCAGAACAGUAAUGCUUAAUUUUGGCUUCAGAAUAGUAAUGUUUAAUGGAUAAUGCUGGCAGUUUAUUCAUUUUACUUUGUUUUCCUUUUGUUGCUAAGGCUGAGGUGGAAGUUGAAAGGCUUGAUCAACUGAAAGCCAGCAGGAUGAAGGAAAUUGCUUUCAAGAGGCAAGCUGAGCUCGAAGAGAUAUUUGCCCGUGCUCACAUAGAAAUAGAUCCAGAGGCUGCUCGAGCAAAGAUUAUGUCACUUAUUGAUUCUGGGGAUGUUGAGCCUUCUGAGUUACUGGCCGAUAUGGACAAUCAAAUAACAAAAGCAAAGGAAGAGGCUUUCAGCAGAAAGGAUAUAUUAGACAAGGUUGAGAAAUGGAUGUCAGCUUGUGAAGAAGAGAGUUGGCUUGAAGACUACAAUCGGGUAUCCUCUCUCUCUCUCUCUCUCCCCCUCCCUCCCUGGAUUCGUUGUGGAUUAGAUCCACCUUGAUUAGGAAUGCUCAUUUGUGCUCUCUGCAAUGUUGUUGCACUCCUAUUCAAGCCAUUAGCCUAACAGCAAAUAGAGCUUUGUCAGCAUCAAUGUGGUCGUGCAACUUGCUUGUCUGUCCCAAUCCUGAACUAAUUGUUUAUCAUGCAUUUUGAUUGGCCUUAUUGUUGCAAACCACUGAUCCUUGUUUCUUGCUAAAACAAUAUUUUUGGAUCAUGACCACAACCACAAUUUGGGCUUUAUCAAAUACUGAUGUUCAGUGCAAAAAGUUUCUUCUAGUCAUCUAAUCUAUUUUCUAUGAAGGUUGACUGCCAAAAUAUGGUUGCGUGGUUGGAAUAACACUGUUGGACCAAUAAUUAGUCUGUUAAAUGCUAUGGAUGCCAGUGUGGAUUAUGAUAUUCCUAACCUAUGGAUUAAAACAUGUACGAUUAGAGGUGGAUUAUGAUGUUCCACAGCCGGUAUGGAUUAUGAUAUUCCUAACCUGUGGAUUAAAACAGCUAUGAUUAGAGCUAGAUUUGAAACUGACUCCCUUCUAAAGAAGAGAAAUGGACUAUACCACCAAACUAAGUUUGUUAUUUUAGUUGGAUUUUGCCCCUGCCUCUACUUUCUGGCUCUGCUACUGUUCCUAACCUUCCAAUGUAAUUCAGGUAUAGUUGCAAUUAGGUUCAAUAUUGAGUUUCGAUCUAAAUAUUUAUCUUGCCCAAUUGGAUGACUUUGAGUUCCAAAUCGAAACAUUUCUCAUGCCUAAUCUAGGCCUUUUAUGCACAGUGCCCUCCCUAGUCAAGAAUGAUGAAAAUAGAGAAUAGCUCCUUUGGUUUUGUGUGAAUUUAUAAAAAAGGAAAGAAAAUUUAGUAAUCCCAUUACUUUGUCCUAAAAUCAUGUAAAUUCUACUGGAAAAAAUAAUAUAUGUUGAAGAAGAGGAAAGAACGAAAAGAAAAAAAAAAUGCACACUCCUGGUUAACUCGUUCUGACUUUCAUGUCAAAAGACACCAAUCUACUGCAAAAACAGUUGGUCAUGAUCAUCUUUAAUACCUCUGAUUUGCUAUGAUGACUGGCAGCUAUGAAUGAUAAUUAUUUCUCUUAAAUAAAUUCUACUUUCAGGACCUUAAUGAUUUUCUUCAAUUCUAUUAUGUCGACAACUCAAAAGGACAUCCUCCUUUUUUCGUUGUUAUUGGAGUACUUUUUCCCUGAUACUCUAUAGCAACCAGCAGUCUCCUGGCAAUACAUCUCUUCUUAAUAUUUAUUGAGAGUGCUCAUUCCUCUGUUGCCUAGUCAAGUUGACAUAUUCCUCUCAUCCCAUCUUUUAUGAAAAAUUAUGGGAGUGAGUUUCCCAUGUACAUGGCUUGAACUUAAUUUAAUUCUUGGUAUUUUUGGGGUUUUUAGCUCAACUUGAUAUUGCCUUGCCGAAACAGGAUGAAAACAGGUAUAACUCAAGCAGAGGUGCACACUUAAAUCUCAAGCGUGCUGAAAAAGCUCGGAUUUUAGUCAACAAAAUUCCAGGUAUGUAAAGAAAUCACACUUAGUACAAAGAUUAUAUUUUGAAUAACAUGAUAUUCAUUACAAAUGGAGUGUUUGUGUUUAUUCAUGUUUGUAGGAUCUUCACUACCACAACUUUGGACAAAUAUAUGAGUAUAAAGUUGACUUAAGUGGGAUUCUUUACCCAUCAAGAAGCCUUAGUGCCCUUCUUAAUAUAUUGGAGCCGAGGAACUUUAAGAUUUUGCCUAUCAAAAAACUUAACAUUAAGAUUUAAUGGAAGAGUUCAAAAAAGAAUGAAUUGCUUGUGUAGAAACUCUUCAUAAUAUAAGACUUCAAAGACUGGUUAGGUUCUUAGGGCAUGGUUGUUGGUUUUAGUGUAUUCUCGCUUUUGGCCGCUUUGUAUAUGUUGUGUAUUCCUUUUUCUAUUAAUACAGUCUUCAUUUACCUAUAAAAGAAGAAAAAAAAAAAAAAACUCUAAACAAUAGAAGUUUCCUUUAUCCAUGAGUGUGUUUUUGAGCUUUUGUUGUGUGUAUGGUAGAUGAAAGGUGAAAACUGAUAAUUUCAUUAAAAAGAAGAAGAUAAUCCAUGCUGUUAUGUUAGCUUGGCUUGAUGUGCUUAUUAUUGGAUGGUUUUCUUGGCUCUGUAGCUCUUGUUGACACAUUGGUUGCCCAAAACUGGGGCAUGGGAAGAAGAUCAUGGUAUACCAUUUACUUACGACGGUGUUCCUCUCCUUGCCAUGCUAGAUGAAUAUGCUAUGCUCAGGCAUGAUAGAGAAGAAGAGAAGCGGAGAAUGAGGGUAAGGCUAACUAGAUUGCUUUGUGAAGGUCAGAUGGGCUCAAGCAUGUUUCCACAUUGGACCCAAUUAAUUCUGACAUGACCUCAAUCCUACAUGAGCUUUUGGUGUUUAUUCAUCACCAUUCUAGGCUAUUUGUUUCUUGUACUAAAUUGGGUAUAACAUCUAUAAAUGACAGGAUCAGAAAAAGUUCCAUGAGCUGCUAAACACAGAACAGGAAGCCAUUUUUGGUUCGCGGCCAAGUCCUGGUCGCCCACUUGGUCCAAAGAAGGUGGUGGGACCACGAGCAAAUGGAGGUGCGAAUGGAACUCCUAGCAGGCGGCUCUCUCUGAAUGCAAAUCAAAAUGGUGCGAGGUCUACAUCUAAAGAUGGGAAGAGGGAUAAUACCAGGCCGGUUGCCCCUGUCAACUAUGUUGCCAUAUCAAAAGAAGAUGCUGCCUCACAUGUUUCUGGUACAGAACCAGUUCCAGCUUCACCUUGAUGAAACAAGAGACGAGAGAUGAGAGAGCUGUGAUUUUACACCCCUGUGAUAUUAGUGUUGUUAUUAGUAGUUUUCUGCUGUAGGGAUAUAUCUUUGAAACGAUGAGGGAGUAAGUGGCAGUAAGGGAGUAGGGACUGUUUUCUAGCUGUGUAUGUCAAAUUUAGCAUCUGGAAGCUUUUAAAAUUCAUGCAGCAGUUUCAUUUGUAUUGUAGGAUAUGCUUUUGGAUGCCUGCCUCUGGCAAUAAAAAUCUUGGUCUAGCUCAGAUAGCUGCAUGUUUCUUUUUUUCCCCCAAGUUUCUUAUCUGGGCAGGGAUUCUUGUGGUUCCAAAUCAUCCCACCAGGCCUUAGCAAGAACACCCAUAAGUGUAUUUGUGGAGGAAGUUGGGGAAACUUAAAGACAUGCAUCUCCAGGCAUCCUUGCCUAGGGGAAACCCCUGUUUGCAAAUAAGCAGUGAAUCUAUUACAAAAGCAAUUCAAGCAUUUUUCACUGCAGGAAAGCCUCUGGGCCUCAUACAUUGUCACCCUCUCUUUUUAUUUUUCCACUGUUUACCUUUUUCCUGGUUUUAGGAUUUGUUUGGUAAUGGCAAUCAAAUUAGUUUUUCAAAACUGUUUUCAUUUCCGUUUAUGGAAAUGAGAGCAAUGAAUAGACUAGGUGAUGAAUAAUUAAUUAGGACUUUUGCUUGGAAACAUUAUUUAUUUUUUAAAAUAAAAAAUGAGAGUAAUUUUUAUAUAAAAUAUAUAACUUUUAGGGUGUGUUUGGUAUUGGGAAUGAGGUGUGCAAUAGACUUCUCAUUCUAUGUUUGAAUAAAAAUAAAAUUAAAAAUGAUUUUAGUGUUCAUCCUAAUUAAGAGGUAUUUUGAUUUCAUAAUACAAAUAAUUUUUAAAAAAUUUAAAAACUAAAAACUUUAUUAUAUAAGUUGUUUUCAAAAGUAAUUUUUUAUUUUGAUUUUGUAAAAAACACAAAUUAUAAAUUUAAUUUUUUAAUUAAAAAUAAAUAAAAUAAAUAAAUAGUUUUUAAUAAAAUAUAAAUAUUGAUAAUAUAGUACAAUCAUAAAUUAUAUUCUUUUAUAAAUAUUAUCCAAAUAUAGAUAUUAACCAUUUCUAUUACUAUUCAUAUGAUUUUAUAAAUAUUAUAAAAAAUAUGGAUAUUAAUAUCUUAUAAAAGCAUAAUUAAUUUAUUUUGUUAAAAAUAAAGAAUAAUUAUUCAAAUUUAAUAAUUGCUAAUACUAUUCUAUUUUCAAUGAAUAUAAAUAAAUAAAAUUUAAUUUUUUUCAAGUAUAAAUGGAUCAAAAUUUUCAUUAUAUGCAUGCAUUUAUUACUUAAUUAUGAAGAUAACAUUUUGAAUUAUUCUAUUUAAUCUAUAAUUAAUUAACCGGUUUUUUUUUAAUUUCAUAUUAUUCUUAAAAACUACAAGAUUUAUUAAAAUAAGAAAAAAAUGGGUUUUGACUAAUUAAUAUGAAAAUAAAAAAUUAUUUUAAACUAUAUACAAUCAGAGAUUUUUUUUAAAAUAAAAAAAAAAUUUAAAUAAUAUGUAUAAAUAUUAUUGGUAAUUUAUUUUUUUCAUUUUUAAUCUCAUUUUUACUUAACAUUGAAAUGACAACAAAUUAUCAUUCUAACUUUACAUUUCAGUAUCAUCUAAACACAAUAUUAUAAUUACCAAAUUCAAUUUUAUUUAAUGGGAAGAAAAAUGAAAACAAGACGUUGAUUCUUAUUCUAGUUAAAAAAAAAAAAAAAAACAUAGGAAAUAUAUCUCGAUUAUGUUUCUAUUUUAAAAAAAAUAGAAAAAGGUAUUAUGUUUUUAUUUUUAAAAAUAGAAAAAGGUGAAAAUAAACUAUAUUGAAAGAAUAAUGAUUAUGAUAACUUGUUUAAAAAGUAUAAAUAUUAAUUUUUUAUUACAUUAUAUUUUAAAAAAUAUAAAUAAGUCUAUUUUUUUUAUAAGAGUUCUUAUAUUUUAUAAAAGGACUAUUAUUAUUUUUAAUUUUUGAAAAUUGAAAUUUCACUCCAAAGACAAAAUUUGUAAGGGCACUAUGAUAACUAUUUUUGAAAAUAAUCAUCAAAAAUAAUUUUUAAGAUGAUUUUUUAUAAAAUAAAAAUCAAUUUAGAAACCUAAAAUAUUUUUAACAUGUUUUUAAUAUUUUUAAAUAUAAUUUUUAUAUCUAAAAUUUUAGUAAUAAAAAUAAUAAAAUAUAAUUGAAAGAUGUUCACUAAAAACAAUAUAAAAAACGAUUUUUGAUUUCCAAACAUAUUUUUUAUAUUUUUUAUUCUAACAAACUAAAAAGUAAAACUGUUGUAAAAAGGAGUUUCCGAAUAAGUUCUAAAUCUAUUUUCAUAUUUUAUCUCCCUCUUUUUUGGGUUGGGGCAAAGGAUCCGUACAAAAGCGACGUCGUGUUGAAGUAAUAGACAAUUUAAAAAGAGGAGGCUGUGAUCAAUAAGGAAAGAUCAACUCAAAAUUCCUUGAAGCAGAAGCAGUCUUUGAAAGCAGGGUGAUGGCCAGCGAAAACGAGCCUGCCAAACUCCUUCUACCCUACCUUCAACGCGCCGAUGAGUUGCAGAAACACGAACCCCUCGUCGCCUACUACUGUAUUUCCCUCAGCUUCUUCCCUUUUUCUCUCUCCCUAUAAACCCUAGCCUUUAAUUCUUCAAUUCCUUGUCUCUGUUUUUUUUUUUUUUUUUAAUUACAAAUCUUUUGCAAUUUUUUCAGGUCGAUUAUAUGCGAUGGAAAGAGGGCUGAAAAUUCCUCAAGGCGAGCGUACCAAGACCACCAACUCCCUCCUCAUUUCCCUCAUGAAACAGCUAGAAAAGGUCUAUUUUUUCUAUAUCAUAUUUCUAGGAUGCCUUUUUUUUUUGGGUUGGAAUUUUCUUGCUCUUUUUUUGAAUUUUCAGGGAUGCGUUAUUUUUCUUACGCUGUUUGAUGAAAUGUGUUUGUUUGGUAGCUGGGAAACUCGAGGGAAAGAGAUUGAAAAUUGGGAAUUUGGACAAAUUUUGACUAAUCGUGUUAUAAAUAUUUGAAUGCUUUGACUUCUUUGUUGGGGAAAUUUCGUGAGUUUUUUUCAAUUUCAACGAUUCCCAAGAUUUGUGGUAAAUACUUUAGCCAGUCCAUGUAUUAAAGCUGUUUAGACUAGUUUCUUGAGACCUCUUUCGAUGCUCAAAUGUAACCUGUUUUGAAAUAUUUUGUGUUGUUGAUUAUAGUAAGUAUGUCUGCAAUGAGAAACACCUACCAUUUAAUGAUUUGUUCUCUUUUUAUUUUGUGAUGGUUCUGGUUAGGUGCAAAUUUGGCAUCUUUGUAGUGGGAAUUUCUGAUAUUUGCAAUUAAUAAUUUUCUUGCAAAAUUGUAUUUCCACUAUGGUAAAUGCCAAGGCAUCAUAUAUAUGGAGCCCAAAGGUACUAGUCAUUAGUGAUUACUUGAAAUCUGUAUAGCCUUUGCACCUUACUUCUGUCUACUGUUAUUGGUCUUUUACAGGAUAAGAAGGCAUUGAAAUUGGGGCCUGACGACCACUUGCACUUGGAAGGAUUUGCCUCAAAUGUUUUUGCAAGAGCAGACAAGCAGGAUCGAGCUGGACGAGCAGAUUUGUAUGUCUAACUUUUUACCUUAUGUAUGAUGGUUUUAAAAUUGUUUGAAGGUUGUGCCUUGAGGCUCACCUCUAAUAUAACUGUAGAGGCUUCAAUUCCUUGAGGCACAUGGCUCAAAGUGUGAGGUGCUGAUUGAGGAUCCAUUUAUGAUUUUCCUUUUCAGUUUUAUUUAUUUAUUAUUAUUAUUUUUUAUAAUUUAAUUUUUUUACGUGUUUUGUAUGUUACCCAAAUAUUCAAAUUUGACAAUCUGGCACAAAGCCAUAAAUCAUAAACAAAUUUUGGAGAAAUAACUUGCAGGAAGGGGCUUUUAUUUGUCGGAUUGUUUGUUGUUGUAAGUGGUGUAACAUAGGAUGUAUUUAGUUUGCUCUUAGAGGUGGUGCUAGUAUAAAAUAAACGAUACUUCUGGUCCUGAUCAUCUCACUUUAUUUAUCAAAUUGGAUCGUCUAGAGUUUGUCUGCACUGCUUGGGAAAAUCUGAGGAGCUAGUGUUAAUAUGACAUAAAGGAUGUUUUUAGCACUAGUCACCUUGAUCUAUUUAUUCAAUUGGAUCUUCUAGAGUUCCACCCAUCUUACCAUAAAAAUCUCAAUACAUAGCGGAAUCUCAAUCUUAAUAGUUCAUUACCAGAAACUAUGUGGUGAGAAUCACUUAACUCAUUUAUAUUAGAAAAAGAAAUAUUUGGUUCUAUUUCACGUUGAUGAUUGUUGUAACAGUGUUUUAAGUGCUCUAUGUCAACCUACCUUACAUUCCUUGAUGGUGGGGGAUAGUGGUUCUCAUAGCUAACUUAAAUGGUUGGAAUGAGGAUGGCUUGAGCUUAUCAUAGAACUGAAAUGUGGUUUUCCUUGACAAAGUAAUUUUUUUGUUUACUUCUUUGUUACUUGUUGGCUAGCCCAUGGGCUUUCUAUGGAUUUUUGGCAUAUUGUUGAGAUUUUCUUAAGAAUGAAGUGUCGUCUUUCUUUAAAGAGUUCUAUGAGAAAAGGUUUUUGUAUAUCAAGUUUGAGGUUCUCUAUAUGGGUCAAUGGCAUGAUAACAAGUUUUUUGUUGAGCUCAAGGUGCUUAAGGUAGGCAGACCACCUCUCUCCUUAUUAUUUGUCUUGGCGAUGGAAGCCUUAAUCUUUUUCUAAGAAGGCAAGAGGAUGGUGGUCCUUUUUUAGGGUUUAGGGGGGAAUGCGUGGUUUGUGGAGGUUUCUUGCAUCUUCUCUUUGCUAAUGACAUCCUCCUUUUCUGUGAGCCUUGUGAUAUGUAGAUGACUUAUUUGAGGUGGGCCCUAUUUUGGUAAGAUAAUCUACAAAAGAGCAAACAAAUUUUGGUAGGCAAAAAAUUGUCUUCUCCACGAAGCUAGUCUUUUGGGAGGUGGUAGAGGAGAAGCUUUGCAAAAGACUAGCUUCACGGAGAUGAUGAUUUUUUUCUAAGGGUGAGAGACUCACUUUGUUAAAAUGUACUCUUUCUAGCCUCACUUACUUCAUGUUCUUGCUUGUUAUCUCUAUAGUGGUGUGCUUGAGGCUUGAAAAGAUUAAACAUGAUCUCCUUUGGAAAGGUGUUGUUCUUAAAAAGAAACCCUAUUUGGUAAACUAACUGACUAAGGAGGUCUUGGUAUCAAAGUUUUAUCAUCUCUCAAUAAAGCCUUAUUGGGAAAAUAGUUUUGGAGAUUUGUUGUAAAAAAGGUUCGUCUUUGGAUGCAUAUUAUUAUAGGGAAAUAUUGGAAGGAGCCAAGAGGUUAGUGUUCUUAUAUAAGGAGGGAUGCAAUGGGGUUGGUUUAUGUAAAGCAUUCAUAAAAGGUUAAUGGGGAGUGUGAAACUAGAAUUAAAAUUAUAGUGAGUGUUAUUAUAGAAGGUUACCUUUAGAGGCGGAUUAUUGUAGGAAAUAUGGAGAGUAACCAGGAGGUUGGUGUUCUUUUAUUUAUUUAUUUUUUGAUAAGUAAGAGAAUGUAUUAAAAAGUGCUAAAAGCGCACAAUAGUACACAGGAAGUAUACAAAGUAUACUUGACAAAAAAUAGGAAAGAAGGAACACACAAUGAAUACUCCCUCCCUCAUCUAAGCCCCAACCAAUCUAAGAAGUCAACCAUUUUUGUAUACCCACCGCCUAUAUACACCCUAACCCACAUAGAGAGAUUGUUAAGGAAAAUACUCUUUAGCCUUUGAUUAGACACUUCCUCACGAUCAAAGAAUCUCUUAUUUCUUUCCUUCUAGAUCGUCCAGAAAAUGUAAGGAGGAGCAGCUCUCCAAGCCUUAAUACGCCUUCUAUCUACAAAAAAGUCAUGCCACCCUAGGAGAGUCUCCCUAACUGACUCAAAUAAAACCCAUUGAACACCAAAAAUGGAGAACACCAACUCCUCUUUGCACAAAGCACACUUGUUAGUUAACUUCCAUACUCUUCUUUAAAGCUGAUCCAGCGUCAAAACCUUUCCAUAGUAAGCCUUCCAAGUAAAUAAACUCACCUUCACAGGGAUCCAUGAGUUCCAAAUUAUCUUUAGAGGGAAAGGAGUGGAAUAAUUUGUCUCCAACAAAGAGUAAAACCUUCUUACAGAGAAGGCCCCUUUGUUAUCUUCGUUCGACACUACUCUAUCCUCCUCCAGCUUCAUAUUUUGUCCUUGGAGCUUAGAAAGAAACCUCUCCAUAAUGACCAACUCCUAAUCGUUUAGAUUCCUAACAAAAUAAAAGUUCCAAUUUCCUUCUUCCCCAUUUUGCUCCUAAAAAUCAGCUACCCAUGCCUCCUUUGAACUUGAAAGAGCAAACAAGGAACAUAGUUGUGAAAGGCGCGGUGGCGUGACACCACCCUCCGGUGCCUCGCUUGAAGGCAGGUGAUGCCCCUUCAAGAAGACGCCUCUUAGGCGCGCAAGGCGCGACACAGUCCAUAAGUGCGCCUCGAUCCCUUAUCUCCUUCUUCUCCUUCUUCUUCGACGUCGGGUUGCAGAGGGCAGAGAGAAGCCCUAAUUUCUUUUUUUUUUUUUAAUUUUUUGUGACCAAAACGACUGUUCUUUUAAAAGAGCAGGGUCCAAAACGACAUUGUUUUGGAUCUUUUUAAAAAGAACAAGCCAAAACGACGCCGUUUUGGAGCCUGUUCCUUUAAAAUAAAAAAUAGGCCAAAAUGACGCCAUUUUGGCCUUCUUUUCCCUUCCAACCACCUUUUCUGGUUGUUUUCAACUGGACAACUCUCCCAAAUUUUGCCCUAGCCUAAGCUGUGCAGUGGAGAAGUGAAGAAGACGAAGAAGAGGAGGAAAAAUAGGGGAAAAAUAUAUGUAAAUUAGGGUGCGCCUCACUUCACUAAAGCCCGCUCCUUAGGUGCGCCUUGCGCAUCAGGCUUCAGGACUACUUUGCACCUUGAUGCGACUUGAGCCUUUUAAAACUAUGACAAGGAAAAAUCUCACAUAAGGGUUGCUCACUAUACCACCUAUCUUUCCAAAACUUCACUUUACUCCCAUUAUCCACCUUAAAGGAAAUCUUUGUAUUGAAAAACUCUCACUGCUUCCCAAUCUCUUUCCAAACCCCAACCCCAUAGGCCUCUCUGACCUCUCUUGACCUCCAGCCCCCUUCUUCCUCCCCAAACUUUCCCUUUAUGAUUUUCUUCCACAAUGAAUUUCUUUCACUAGAGAAGUGCUAACACCAUUUGCAAAGAAGAGCCUUAUUAAGCAAAAAAAGAGAGUAAACACCUAAUGCUCCUUUCGAUUUUUCUUUUCAAACAGAAGACCACUUGACUAGGUGCAUUUUACUUUACAAACAGAAGACCACUUGACUAGGUGCAUUUUGUUUUCUAAUAAUGCCCCUCCCCCCCAAAGAAAAUCCCUUUGAAUCUUCUCUAAUCUAAACCUAAAAAUUCUUGGCAUGGUGAACAAAGACAUAAAAUAUAUUGGUAAACUAGCAAGAGUACUGUAAAGUAAAGUAAGUCUUCCCCCUUUUUGAGAGAUAUUGUCUCUUUCAUAACGAAAGCUUCUUUUGAAACCAUUCUUCAACCCCAUCCCAAAUUGCCACCGACUUGUAAGGAGCCCCUAAGGAAGCCUUAGGUAAGAAGAAGGCAACUUUCCCACCUUGCACCCAAUUUUGCAAGCCAAAUUUUCCACAUUGUCCACCUCCCCAACUAGAACCAUCUCGCUUUUUUCCAAGUUAAUCUUCAACCCCAACAUAGCCUCAAACCAUAUGAGAAGCCAACACAAGAAAGUGACUUGCUCCUGAGAGGCCUCACAAAAAGGAAAUGAGAUGUCUCUUCACCCCACCCCCUCUUUACCCAACCUUGAAUCUUGAAAUAUAACCACCAUCCCGAGAUUUCAAGAGCAAUCUACUAAGGGUCAUUGUCUCAAUCCCCUUGAUCUUUGAAACAAGCCAAUAGGAGAGCCAUUAAUUAAAACAGAGAAAUUAGCUAAAGAGAUGCACCAUUUUAUUCAAAUUAUCCAUUUUGCUCGAAACCCAUCUUGCCAAGAAUCGCUAGCAAAAAGUCUUAAUUCACAUGAUCAUAAACUCACAAUAUUAAGCUUACACAUCAUCCCACAAUCUCUCUUCUUUAACGUUGAAUCAACUACCUCAUUUGCUAUCAACAUUGCACCUAAAAUUUGUCUUCCUUCCACAAAGGGAGGGUUGUGUCUCGAGUUGGUUUAUGUAAGUGAGGUGGGGAGACCACUUAGCUUGGUUGACCUUUUAGUGCCUUAGUAUAUAUUGUGUAUGCCUGUGCACGCUAUUUUUUUUGGCGCUUUUAAUAUAUUUAAUCUUUACUUAUAAAUUCGUUUAUGUAAAGCAUUCAAAAGAAGUUAGCGGAAAGUUUCAAACUAUUGUCAAAAUUGCAAUGGGUAAUGGUAGGAGAAAGAAGUUUGGGAACGAUGUUUGAUGUGGAUACUUGCUUAUAUGUGUAUCUUUUCUCUCUUUAUUCUAUUGCAGCUUCUAAAGAGGCUUGGUUUGUUGAUCUUUGGGAGGUUUUGGGAAUUCUGGAUUGCUCCAUUCUCUGACCCUAUAUCACAUAGGGUGCAUGCAUCUCUCCUCAACUUCUCUAGAUCUAAAGUAGUGGGAACCUAUGACUAUAAAAACUAUAAAAAUACUAGAUCUAGAGGAGAAAGUAUUAUACCUGUGAUUUGGAUGUUCUUAGAUUUAUUUCCAUCUGAUGAAGACGUCGAGGAAGAUUCUGAAACCGUAGAUAACAUUGUGGAGCUCAUCCACUUGGUGCUCUUCCACCCGACCUCUCCCUCCAUGGAUGCUUAAAACAAGAGAAGGGUGGACUUCUUCCUUGAGGGUGACUAGGGUUCCUCUCUCUAGAAUUUCAGAAAAGUGAAGUGCAAGACUGAAAUCCUAAUCUCUGAGGGGGUUUAUAUAGGUUACCCUGUUGGUCACAUAAUUCAACCCACUUGGGUCCUAAUUAAUUAAUCAGUCCUAAUGGACUCUAAUUAAAUAAUCAACUCAAUCUAGAAAGAACCAUUCAUAAGAUCUAAUGCAUCCUCACGUUUUUACCAAAAUGCCAUAUGCACACUUAUGAAUUAUACACCCAAAAUAGUGUGCCAUCAUGAAUUAAGGAGCUCAAGUAGGGACCAUUGAGACCCAUAGGAAAAUGUUGGCUCCUUUAGAAUCCAAUUCUUAAGUUGAUUCAACACUUUACCAAAGAGAGUCAACCGCACUCUAGUAUCCUAUGAAAUGACGAGACAAAGCUCAAGUCUAUAACUUACUAGUCAUGACAUGCAAACUCCCCAUGAAUUGGUGUUCGUAAUUUAACAGGGUAGUACUAUCAACCCAUUAAGAUUACCUCUCCAAUUCUUGAGUUACAGAUUCACAUAUUAUGUGACCAACUAACAUAUUCUAGUUCCAGGUAACAGAUGUCAAAUUUUACUAAAGAAAUUACUGCGGCCACAAAUUUUAUUGUCAUAUGUUCUUUGGAUUACCCAAGAGGAUAUGUUGUUUUAAUCCCAUCAAAUAUCGUGGUGCUUUUAUUGAGAAUACUUGUUGCCAACAAACUCCAUCAAUAGUGAAUCAAUUCGUAGCGAUAUAUGAUCACUUUAGGGUCUCACCCAUAGGUCAAAGUCUCAUGUUAAUUUCAGCAUAGACUCAAUAUCUUCUCAAGGUUAAGAGUUUAUGUAACAUAAUAACAUGGUGAAUCAUGACAAUCUGAUAGCUUUACGUCAUGAUUCACAGUAAGUCUUGUUCAAUAUGUAACCAUACACACUAGUGCAUUUACCACAAGAAUUACAUCCCAACAACCAAGACAAAUUAUCCCUCUAAUUAGGAGGUAAUGCACUAUAAUCUCUAUUGGAUUGCUCAAAUCCAUGAACUGAUUAUGAAUAACUUAUCAUUCUAUAAAGAAGCCAUGACUUGUAUCUUCUGUGCAAUUCUUGAUGCACUAAAGUCAUGUACAAUGAAAAUGAUAUGGGUUGAAUGGUCAAAUCAAUAUCAAUGCAUAAAAGGGAUAACAAGGGGACAAUGAAAUCUAACUUUGUUACAUCAAAUCUUGCUUUUUGGGGCUCAAUCCCAACAAGAAGGGCAUUGAACCCCUACUUCUUUGGGGAUUCCUAAGAUUAGUAGUUGGAUAGUGUUAUAUGUUAACGAACAAGGCUUCAUGAGGGGCCGAGGCUUAGGGAAGAAGAUGAUAAGUUGUGGGAGAGUCCGAAGUGUGGGAAAUUUUCUAUUAGAUCUUUCUAUGCGAUCAUGGAGUCGCCGAAUGGUGAAACCUUGUUUCUUCAAAAGGAACUUGGUUUCUUAGGCUCCUGCAUAGGUGGUUUUUCUUUUUUGGGAUUAUGAGGCAAAAUUUUGACUUUGGAUCAAUAGAAAAAGAGGAUAGCCUUUGGCAAAUUGUUGUUGUUUAUGUGGAUGCAAAGAGGAAUUGGUUAACCAUCUUCUUAUUCAUUAUGGAACGUAAGAAAUUUGUGGGUUUUGUUGUUCUUUAUGUUUGGUGUUUCUGGAUGCUUCUUAAUACAAUGAAGGAAAUUUUAUCGAGUUGGCAUAGGAGCUUCAUGAGGAAAAAGGGGGAAAAUCUUGGAGAGCUGCUUCUUAUGCUUUAUUUUUGGGCUUUUUGGCAGGAACAUAAUUUCAUAACUUUUGAAGGGGUGAAAUGUUCGGAGCAAUCACUAGAAGUCUUUUCUUUUUAUACCAUCUUAUGGUGUUGUUAGUUCAUAGAUGCUAGGUCCUUGUUUGACCUUAUUGAUUGGUUGGGAAUUGCUCAAUAUUUUUUUGGGUGUUGUUUUUAAAUCAGUUGUGCCUUUUAUGUACCAUGUUGGUUGCACCCCAUCAUUUUUGUUAGCCAUUUUUCUAGUCUUAUAUAUAUAUAUAUAUAGAAGUCUUUUCUUUUUAUACCAUCUUAUGGUGUUGUUAGUUCAUAGAUGUUAGCUCCUUGUUUGACCUAAUUGAUUGGUUGGGAAUUGCUCAAUAUUUUUUUGGGUGUUGUUUUUAAAUCAGUUGUGCCUUUUAUGUACCAUGUUGGUUGCACCCCAUCAUUUUUGUUAGCCAUUUUUCUAGUCUUAUAUAUAUAUAUAUAUAUAUAUAUAUAUAUAGAAGUCUUUUCUUUUUAUACCAUCUUAUGGUGUUGUUAGUUCAUAGAUGUUAGCUCCUUGUUUGACCUUAUUGAUUGGUUGGGAAUUGCUCAAUAUUUUUUUGGGUGUUGUUUUUAAAUCAGUUGUGCCUUUUAUGUACCAUGUUGGUUGCACCCCAUCAUUUUUGUUAGCCAUUUUUCUAGUCUUACAUAUAUAUAUAUAUGGAGAGAGAGAGGUUGUGGGAACUGCUUAGUGUUUUGGGUGUUGUAUAUUUAUUCAGAAAAUGAAGUUCACAUUAAGGUUGUGGGAGCUACUCGAUGUUUGUGGGGGGGGGGGGGGAGAGAGAGAGAGAGAGAGAUUAAGGUUGUGGGAACUGCUCAGUGUUUUGGGUGGUGUUGUAUAUUUAUUCAGAAAAUGAAGUGCGCAUUAAGGUUGUGGGAACUGCUCAGUGUUUUGGGUGUUGUAUAUUUAUUCAGGAAAUGAAGUGCACAUUAAGGUUGUGGGAAGUGCUCAGUGUUUGGGGUGUUGUUUUUCCUCCUGUUAGCAUCCUUUAUGUACUCUCAUUUAUGUGGGUUGCACAAAGAGGGAGGGAAAUUAGUGCCCAUUAAAGGUUGAUUAAAUGAUUUUUGAGGGAGGGAGGGAGGGAAAUUAGAUGGUUCAAGGGAGAGAGGGAAAACUUGGUUGAUGAAAUGAUUUUCAGGGGAGAGGGAGGGUGCUCAUUAAAGGUUGAUGAAAUGAUUUUCGAGGGAGGGAGUAAAAUUAUGUGCCCAUCAGAGGUUGAUGAAAUGAUUUUACUCACAGAUAAAAAGCAUUUCAUUAACCUGAGAGAGAGAUACUCUUUAUUUCUUUUUUUCCCGUCUUCUUUCUUCUUUUGUGUGUAACAAUAAGACUUGCUCUGUAGUUUCUAUGACCAUCAUGUUUUGACUUAAUGGGUUCUACUUCAUAAAAGUAGUGUUGUUUCCCUCAUGGGCUCAUAACUUGCAGCUCAUCAUCUGAAUCGAGUCAGUUCAUUUGCCUUUGAUCAUGAUCACCUUGCAUAUUAGUUUUUGGAGAUUUGAUUUGUCUUGUUUGUGAGAUCAAAGAUUUGUUUUUUUCUUUUUUUAGAAGUAGAUUAUUGUACAGAAUUAUUUGGAAAUUAAAUUUGUUCUGCUUGUUACAGGAAUACUGCAAAAACCUUCUAUGCUGCAAGCAUUUUCUUUGAGAUUCUUAAUCAGUUUGGUGAACUUCAGCCUGAUGUGAGUUCUUGACCAUGCUAUCGAUUUCCUUAUAAUAACCCACUUAUUUGAAAAGCUUUAGGUUUAUAGCAUCUGACAUUGAAUGGUUUUGGCAGUGUCUGAAUUUUUUUUUGUUCUUUUAUUUUGAAUAUUGAUUUGGAGAUUGGCUUAUUAGGUAGUUAACAUAUUUUUGGUCCCCUUUUACAGCUUGAACAGAAACAGAAGUAUGCAGCAUGGAAAGCAGCUGAUAUUAGGAAAGCUUUGAAAGAGGGAAGGAAACCCCAACCAGGCCCUCCUGUUGAUGAAAAUGAUCUAUCACUACCAACAAGUACCACAAGUGGUGCAUAUGUAUGAUUCUAAACUUGAAAGCCACUUUCUUUUCAGUUAUUUAAAAAGAACAACAUGAUGCUAAAUAAGCAUGAUAGAAAAAAGAUGAUUCUAUUUUCCUAAUUGUUGAGAGUGAAACCUUUCCUGUGCCUAUCCAAAAUGAGAUUUCAAAAUCAAAAAGUGUAAAUCCUUUCAGCUUUUCUUGGUCCUUGUGAUCUCGACAUUUUACUGAAAACCAGUGGUUUUCAGUAAAUGAUAUAAUCUCUAAUCUUAGUUGCUUGCAUGUAAUUUCCAAAUGUUCCUCUUUGCAGGAUCUUGGGCCUAGCCAAACUGGUCCAUCUUUCAAUCCAGGACCAGAAUCUGAUCCAUCACCUCAAUUUAAUGGUAGUCUGAGCCGCCAGCAUUCCUUAAAUAUUACACCAUCACCUCCCCCUACAAAUAUUACACCAUCACCCCCCCCUACAAAUAUUACACCAUCGCCUCCUCCUACAAGUUUUCCACCAUUGCCUCCAAAUGUUCCACCACCUCCCUCUUACCGUAGUGCUGAUUAUCCUUCCCAUGAUUUUCAUCCACCACCUCCGACUAACAGAUCUGAAAAUUCUAGUUAUCCUCAGCCAUACCACCCUCAACCCUACCCACAAGAACCACAGCAGCAAUUGCCACAAAAUUGUCCUUCUCAUGAAACACCCUCAUCUUAUUCUUAUCCUAAUUUCCAGUCUUACCCGAGCUUCACUGAGAGCAGCCUUCCAGCCGCCCCAUCUCAUUAUCCUUCUUAUUAUCAAGGCUCGGAUGCUUCAUACUCCCCCCAGUCAGCUCCUGUUUCAAGUUAUCCAUCAGCUGCUCAAUACAAUUCAAGCGGCGGAAAUGAGGCCAUUUCAGAGCCUGCACCAAGUUCUUCCCAAACAUAUCAAUAUGACAGCAAUUACCAGCCACCAGCAGAGAAAAUUGCUGAGGCACACAAGGCUGCAAGGUUUGCGGUUGGGGCUUUGGCAUUUGAUGAUGUAUCAGUUGCAGUGGACUUCCUUAAAAAAUCCCUUGAAUUGCUGACAAAACCAUCUGCAGGCCAGUAAGUUUGUUACAUUUGAGCGGGUCCUGAUUCUGUUUGUUAUUUUUAUUUGUUUUGGGUUUUGCUUUGUAAAGGUAAUCAUAAUAUUGCAUAAAUCACAAUACAGUUUCCCAUGUUGACACAUUUAUGUGAAUGAAAGUUACUGAUAUUUGCUUUCAAACUCUUAUGUAUCUCUCAUUUACAGUUUUGUGUAUGGUGGAAUCUGUCUUUGGGCUUAUGAAUUUGAGGAAUAGUAGAUGUAAGUCAGCUUUGUCAACAGGAACCUCCCCUUUCUUUUGAUAGGCAAAUCUAAAAUGUAUAACAGGUCCUUAACUGAAAAGGGGGUUACAAGACAAGUAAACAAGAUGUUAGGCUAAAGAAAAAGCACAGAAAACAACUAGAGCAUGCAUUGAUACCUUGACUCAGUCAAAUCAAGAAAAUAACCAGUUGAGAGACACAAGACCAAGAGAACAAAGUACCAAUGAACAUAUUUUUUUCACCAUAAGGAACGUAUUAUUUCUUGUUAUUUGGAAACAGAACAAAGUACUAAUGAACAUAUUUUUUCACCAGGAGGAACCUAUUAGUUCUUGUUAUUUGGAAACCUCACGGGAUUAAUCUUUUCCAUUUGGUGUUUUCCAGCUUUGAAAAGUUGUUCAUGUGAGUAGGAUCAUCUUUUUAGAUUUCUAGGUCUAGGCGUCCUCUGCAGUCUCCAUUCAUCAGUCUUUUGCUAUUCAUGGAGCAUGAGAUUGCAUGCUGUGUCUUCGUUUUGCCCGAGCACCAUGCUGUGAUGUUGACCGAGGGAUGCAAAAAGCAUUUAUUAGAAGGCUCAAACGCCCUUACAAAAUGACGGGAUCCUAAAUAAUGUGUCAUCAUCCGUUUACUCCCCAUUUGCUUUGUACACAUUAUUCUUUGCAUUUGUUUUGUGAUCACUUUCUAUUAUUAGCUAUUUACAUGUACUGCAACAGCAUUACUAUUGUUAUUCUUUCCCAUAUUGUACAUGGGGAACCAUAUCAAGAUGUGUCCCUGAUGUUUUUAUUUUUUGUUUCUCUGUGAUUGAUGAGAGUUAAAUCCAAGUCUGCUUAAACUUAUUUAUGACAGUUAAUUUUCAUUGUUGGAGAAUUAAGCUGUUUCUUUAGAUGGAGGUUGCAUUAGUUUAAAACAUAAAGACGGCCUAUGAUGAAGGUGAUGAUUUAAAGUCUCCUCUAACAGAAGGCCGACAGCCUGGUUUCUUAACCAUUCUAUGGAGAAAAGUGUCAAUUUUCCUUUGGAUUAAAGGGGUAUGUUCUAUGUGUUUCCUGAGUUUGGGACUGUGUUCACAUGUAGUUUACCCAUCUUUAAUUGAAGAUGGGCAGAUUUUAACUCCGAAUUGAGAGAGUUUCUAUGAGAACCGAGGAGAGAAACUAGGGAAGUUUGAGGAAGUUGAUAGAGAAAAGUAGUAAUAUAAGCAAGAAAAAAGAAAAGAAUUGGUUUCAGGUUAAGGAAAGAGGUUUGUAUUGUCAUAUUUUGUUUGCAUGUAUUACAUCAUCGGAUUUCAUACACCCAUGUAUUUUGGAGAGUGACUGAGAAAUACCAACACAUACUCAAGUAUAAAAAACUCUAUUGCUGCUGCUUUUUCCCCAUUUUUGAUUUGCUUGACUUGAUGGCGGAUUUCUCCAUAAACAUGGGCCUCUGUGAUUUGUAAAUAUAGAAGAGGUGGUCUAAAACUUGUGCCUUAUGUUGAACUUAAUAUUGCAAUUAUCACCCAAGGUUGAUAUUUUUCAGGUAUCAGUACAGGGCUUGUUAGAGGCUGAAAUUUAGCAGACUGCACAACCCUGCUGAGAGAAAAGAUAAUUGUUCACCAACCCCAACACAAAGGGUUGUUCAAAAAGAAGGAUAAACUUCUUUUUGAAGUAUUAUAACUGAACUAACUGCCAUUGUCUACCUCCUCCCCACCUUUCCAACAAAAAACAGGGAAGAAAACCUAAAAAUCAAAUGGCCUCUGAGUAGAUGUUGGUGGAAAAGGAAACCCUUUCAUUCAUUCCUACAACUCCACAUAUACAGACACAAUGAUGAGCAAUAAAGGUAGUGAAAUAAAGAGGGUUUACUUGCUUUUAUUUACCCUUUAGUGUGGACCCAAGGGAGCAAGAAGUCACAAGCACACACAAAAGUGAGAGAACAAGUCUUAUGCACUGCCCAUCGACCCUUUUUCUUCUUCUCUCUUUUGGGUGUGCUUGCUUCUCUUUCUAAGCAUUAGAAAUGAUUCAAAGUAAGGAAAGGAAAAAUAGUUACAGGCCCUCCUUUCUCCCUUCUCUUGUAUACAUGCAUUUUUUUUUUUUUUUUUUUUUUUUUGUAUUUUUUUCUCUCUAGGCAAAAGAUAGAGAUGCAACUAUGUGAAAGAACUGAAUUUGCUCUAGUACUUCUUUUGCAUGGCUUGUCCCCUUGUGCUCAACCCUUAAAAACAGCUCCUUGCUUAGCUCCUCCCCUAUGUGGGCAUCGAUUAGGACCCCAGCCACACUCCUGCAACUGUUGGCUAGGGCUCGACCCACCUCGGCUUCAUCGUCAGGUUGGUUGACCACCAGCGGACUCCCUCCCUUGAAUACUUCCAGCUUGUUAAUGGUGAAUGACCCGUUGGCUUCAACCACCUCCCUGAAGUCUUGUAUGCUUGGCGCGUACACUGGAAUAUUGAAAUUGUCACGCUUCUCGCUCGUAAUCAGGCCCUGUUGUCAUUUAUAAAUUUUUUAAAAUAAUAAUAAUCAAAAUACAGCCUCCAUCCACUCCAUUAAACUACAAAAGAAAUGAAAAGGAGAAUCGAAGAUAAGGCCCAAAAGGUUAAUGGGCCUAGAAGGAAGGCCCUAUGGCAGUUUCAAAUUAGAUGGGUUCGCUCGAUGUGUUGAUUAUAAUACCGUACUAUCCUGAUCAGAGGACUUUGAUUGAGACGCAGGAUCGAUUCAAUACGUACAAUGCACUGAAUUUUUCUAUCAUUGAUCAAUCUUGAUCUGAUGGUUAGAAACGGAUUUCCUGUCCUUUUACCAGACUGGUCAAACACUUCGGCCGACCCACCUGCCAUUCCUUUAUCAUAUUGCCGACACACAGUCGGACAAGUGGAUGGCCAGAUGAGCCACUGGACUACAAUCCAACGGCGGGGAAUGAUUACUUCUUUCUUAGGGUGAGCUGUUGAUACACAAGUUGAAAGUUAUGGGGAAUGAAUGGGCAUGAUUACCUCUAGGACAAGAUCAUUCCAAGCGUCUUGAAAGUGGGUUCCAAAGAGGAGUCCGGCCCCACCCUGGUCAGUGGGGUCCACAGAGGUGCGACCCAGGCACACCAAAAACAUGGACCCCCCACUCAUCAUCUCCUGUGCCCUUGAUCUCAGAAACCCGGAUAGAUCACUCUGAAACUGUUUCUUGUAUGCGCUAGCUGUGCCCUCAUUGGCACCAUGGAUGAACACCCUCCCUUCGUUGUAAGCCGUUGAUUGUUUGUCUACCACACAAUCCGGCACCUGUAUUAUGUUAUAAUUAAGAUUAUUUAUGUAUGUAUAUAUAAGUUAAUUAAUAUAAUUGGAAAAAUCCAAAAUUUUUUGGGACUCGAUUUAAAAAUAGUAAGUGGGACAAUCAUCCUCGGGAACAAACUAGAUUAUUAUUAUCAUGAUUAUCUAGGGUAAGCAUGAAACUUUGUAGGUGGAAGAAUGAAUAGCAUAAAAUGGAAAGAUGAUUACCUGAGAGAGCCAGUGCAAGGAAAAUGCAGAGUGAAAGAGAUUAAUUGAUCUGCAAGGGAAGAGUCUUUUAUAGAAAGAGCCAGGAACUGCUGCUGCAAAGUAUGAUCUGUGGCCUUUGGCUGCUAGAUACUCUUCCAUGCUCACUCCAGGGUCUGCUAUGGGUGGGAGCAGCUGGAAGAGCGUGUUGAAGUCAUUAGAAGGGAGGUCGGAGAAAAACGCAGAGAACUCCGGUGGCUUGAACCCGGCCUCCUCGUAUCGCUUGCUCAUAUGUUUAAUGAUGGUUUCAAUGGUGAAGAUUGUAUUGCUGCCGCUGGAGCACCCUAAGUCCACCACCGUGAAGGGGACUUCUGGGGAAGUUAGUUGCACUCCAUCUAGGGUUUCCCUGAGAAGAUGAAGCAUGGAUCGAGCAUGUCGCGCCUGCAUAUAUUUAGGGUUUGUGUUAGACUUAAUUCAACUGUAUAAUUAUAAAAUUUAAAAAGAAAAACAAGAAUAAAAUUAUGGAGUCAAAAACAUUGACAUAAAUCUGAACACGUUCUGACAAAAAGAGAGCAUGUAAGAGUUGACAUAUUUGCCUCAUAUUUCUCUGUGUCACCUACCCACCCAUGGAACCAGUAAACCCUAUUUGAACAUGAGAUACUUUUCUGAUAGAUCAAGCAAAAGAAUCUGAGAAAAAAAAAGCCCACAAAAGGCUUGAAAAUGGAGUGAAUAACUAGCAUGAAACAGUGGACACUCUAAAUAUUCCAUGCUAUUUUAAUCUUUCUGGCACCAACCCAUAAAGCCCUAGUAGAACCCAAGAAAAUUUAGUUUUCUGGUUGGUGGACAUGGAUGGACCAAAAAAAAAACCCUUGAAAACCCAGAAAAAAGGAGAGAAAAUGAAGACAAACAAAGGACCUGAGCCUGAGAAUUAUUGGCAUAGCUGCCCUCUCCAUUGCCCCCCUUCAUGCAGAACACUUUCUCGAGCUUCAUGUUGGGAACUACUACGAUGUUAUUCUCUCCUCUUGGAGCCAUAUGUCAGUGGGUCUCUGGUCUUAUAUGGUGAUCAGAAAUGAGAAGAAAGGUGGGUGUAUAUGGUUAUGGGUAUGGGGUGGAGAAAAGGUCAGGCAAGAGUCGAAUAUAUAUAGAAACUUUUGAAGGCUUCGAGAUUUUCUUCUGUUAAAGUUACCAAAAAAAAAAAAGAAAAAAAUCAGCUGAUUGUUUGCUUUGGACUUUCCCAAAAAAUAAACCUAAAUACAUCGUACAUGUAUUGUGUGCUUACAUAUAAUUACCAAAAUUAUAUAAUUAGAUUAUUUCGUAUGUAAUUAGCAUAUACUAAUGUAAGGUAUGUUUCUGGAAUUUACCAAAAAUCUUGUGUUAUCUGCUUAGAUGUAAUUGCCAAAAAAAUGCCCAAACAAAAUAAAAUAAAUUUAAAUAAUUAAUUUUAUUUUAUUUUUUGAAAAAAAAGAAAGUGAUUGCAUGCUAAGAACAUAAACGAAUUUUCAUAUUUUUCUUCUAGGAAAUUCACUGCCACCCAACUGAUGAAAAGAGAAUUAAUUUCUUGGAUGCUAAGAACAUAAACGAAUUGCAAAAUCAGGAUGUGCUUUAGUAGUAUUUUCUUACGGAUGACAAGUCAUAUUAAAAUUUGUAUUAUAUUUUUGGAAUAAUAUAGUUAUUUUUUUUUUAAUAAAAUCAUUUACAAAAUAUGUAAAUUUUCUACCAUACAUGCAUGCAUGCAUUGUGUUUAUCCCGAAUGCAACCCAUAUAGGAAAAAACAUGUUUUCGGUAAGUAAUAUACUUUUAUAAAAAUAACACAAAAUAGGAAUUUUUAAAAAUAGUUCAGAUUUUUUAUACUCAUCGAUCAAAAGGAGAAAGAUAGUAUCUAUAUUAUUAAAAGAUAAUAUCUGAACGUAUGAAAUCCAAAUAGCUAUUUAAAAUUUGUAUUUUAUAAAUUUAAUUUUUAUUUUAUGGUUUUUUUUUAUUUUUUAUAUGAACGUAUAGAAACGACUUUUUGCUAAGAACUUUUUCCUUAUUAUAUAUAUAUAUAUAUAUUAUAUUUGACAGUAUUAUGAAAUUCAAAUGGUGAUUAGGUCCUACUUAAACAUUAUAUAAUUAACUUGAUGUGGUGCUAAUUAAAAUAACAAAUAAGGCGAUAAUCAUUAACGACAAAUCGAGAUAAACUAAGCAUACAUAUACAACAUAUGUCAAUUGGAAGGUGAUGGGGCAAAAAAAAGACAAUCAUAAACCCUAAAGAUGUGUAUUUCUUUAGGCUUAAGUGAUGAUGAAGAGGUCAUGUUGCAAUAGUUUCAACCAAACAAAGGUAUGGAGAAAAAGGAGGAGACAUACAUAUGGAGAUAAUGGAGAUAAUGGAGAAGAAAGAGAUCCAUUAAAGGCCAAAUGAUGAUUCAUUAUUCCGUAAUUUAAACCCCCCCGCCACCAUCAGACCCCAGAAAUCAAGGUAUGGUUUGUAGCUAAAGCCCUUUUUAAACUACUAAUUAGCUUCUAGUGUUUGUUGGCUUAGUGUAGCUAGUCAGGGAAACCACAAAAGGCUUUGCCGACUCGCUGUCUUGAUUGUUUGAUUAUCACUCUCCAUCAAAUAUUAUGAUGCAUGUGGGAGAUUUUCUAUUUCUACUUUCACAAAAAUAUAUGAUCAGUUUCUUCUCUUGUUCUACCCAUUUUAGUAUCUAAAAACAUAACUAAUUAGGAUGUUGUCUCUCGUUAAUUUUGCUUUGAUAAGUUAAAUAUCAAUUUUUUCUUAAAAAGAAAUUAGAAUAUUUAUCUUUUAUUUUUUAUUUUUUAUUUUUUAUUAGGGAGUUUGAUAUUAAAAAUAUAGCUUAAUUCACCAAGCCAAUAAUCGUAGAACAAAAUGUUACUCGCUAUUCUUUUCUUUUAAUCGAGUCAUUAACUUAAGGUACCACUGGUUCCAUAAAAAAUGAGAGAAAAUAAAGAAAAAUAAAUAAAAAUUAGAUUUCAAGCAAAUUGUUUUUAUAUGUUAUACUCUUGAUCAAACAAUUUGAAAAUGAUUAAGUUUUUAAAAAUUCACAAAAAAUCAUUUUUUUUUUCUUGAUACUUUCAUAAAACCAAAGAUAAUGAAAAUAAAAGAAGUUAUAUGAUCCAAUAAUUUGCUUUUUUUCUUCUUUUCUUUUCUUUUCAAAUAGACUCAAUGCAUAAGUACUUAUAAUUUUGCCAAGGACUACUUAGAAAAGCAAAUUCAUGAUGUAUUUAUCUUUGAAAGUGUUUUUUUUCAAAAAGCCUAGCAAAGUACUUCUCUGAGUUCUUUCUGUCUAGACCACUAAUAAGCACCUUUUUAAGUAUGUAUAAAAUUUAUAUGAUCAAAGAAUCAUUUUAUCGAAUAUGCCACUUCUCAUCAAAUACUCUGCUCUCCUUCACCAAACGUACCGAAAAAACAAACCGUAUUGCCAUGGGGUGCAAAAUUUUUUUGAAAGAGACCAAUGGAAAAGAAGAAUGGAGCCCAUGAUAGGAACCCCAAAACAAUGUGUGUAGAGGUGGGGAACUUGGUCACAUGCAGUACUGAGAAUUGAGAAAGAUGGAUGGACACUAAGGAGAGUGAGAAUGUGAGGGUGGAAAUGAGAUUGAUGACUGACGAGAACCCCCCACUUUUUUUUUUUUUUCCUUCUAAAGACCCGGAAUCUUGUUUCUCAUCUUUCCACCCUCACCCUCACCCUCUCUCUCAAAAGUCCACCACACAGCCGUGAUAAUCGCCGGUUCACGUGAACCCAUGCCUUCCUUUUAUCUUUCUUUUUUUUUUUUUUUAUAACUUUCUACAACUGCCUUCCAACCUCCUCCUCCUUACUGUUAUUAUCCUAAUGUAUAAAUCAACCCUUGAAAGUGAUUCUCUACUCUCCUCUCAUUCUCUAGGUAGGGGGUUUGGCCCUACUUUUGGGUGGAUCAUGACCGUCUGAUAUGGCAUCGAAAAGUGGGAAAGUUUAGUCUGAGUAAAAAGACAAGUGGUGGAAUGGUCAAAAAAGUGAUGUGUGGUAGUUAUGCUUCUACACCCCAAUUUUUAUGGACCCACUUAGAUUUGUAUUUUGGUCGUUUAUAUAUAUAUAUAUAUUUGUAGAGCCCUUGGGAAAAAGAUACCCACCUUUAAAAUGAUGAUAAAAUUUCCAAGGAGGUUGCAAUAGGCCCUCUCGAGAUUCAAUUUCAACUUCAUCAGAAUCAAAAGCUUUUGAGGUAUAAAAAACUUUAAAGUAAUAAAAAGGAGGGUCCCGCUAUGCUAGCCAAUGAGUAUUUAUCGGGGGGGAAAAAAUAAUUCACAUGUAUAAUUUAAUCCCAUUACUAUGUACCAUAUUCGUCGUACAUUUUCAAUAGAUAUGGAGCCAGUACCUUAGUAUUUUACUGAAAAGGAUUGUUCAAUCUUCUUCUAACCCAAUGAACCUUGGCAAAGAGACAAAAAGAUAAAAAAAAAAUAUGAAAACCAUUGUUUUUAAUAUGUACAUGAUGUAAAAUGAAGAGCACGUGCACUGUAGAUAAACAUGGAUGCACGUAAGCUGUGGUUUUGGAGUUUGUCGCUACACCAUGAUCUUAACCUUUCAAUUUGAAUAUAGAUUUUCGCAUAUGGGGCACCUUAUCCAAAGCAUGAUUUUGUAUUACUUGGAAGGAACCGUCUUCCCUCAAUCAUUCAGGCAUAGGGUAAUGGUUUUGUUCUGGAUUUAUAGGGCAAAAUCAAACAUGGGCUAGGUUCUACAAAACUUAAAGAAACAAACCUUAGUUUGUUAGGUUCUAGCCUCUACUUAUCUUUUACUCAAUUCCAUCCCGCUAUUGAUUCUCGUUUUGUUAAUCUCCCACUAAACAAAAGAAACAUGUGCCGCUUAAUCGCGAUCAAUUGGUUCCCGGGAUCGAAGAAAACGGAAUGUUAAUAGCAUGAUCACAGUCACAGUGUGUUUACCUAGAUUGAGAUUGUGUUAAAUAUAAGCAAUCCAAUGAGUUGAGGUAUUAAUACAAGUAAGAUCUAUAUGAAAGCUUUAGAGGGGAAAAAACUAUAGGCAGUAGAGGCAUAGGAAGUUAGUCCUAUGGGCAUUGGGAAUAGUAGAGAGGCAUGGAAGUUAGGGCUAUGGUUUAUUCAAAUACAAGGACAUGAAUGGACGCAGCACAUGAGAGCAAUUUUUAUUCUAUGCUAGGCAAGUUAAAGUAGAUUCUAGUUAUAGGUGUCUAAACGACUACUUUGAUAGGGAAAAGUGGACAAUACCAAUCCAAUCUAUUGAAGAUUUUUGAACACUAUGACUUCACAUGUAGUGUUUUCUUCUAGAGAUACCUAUGGAGAUUAAACAUCUCCCAUCAUAUGUUCACUGUGAAUAGGAAGGGAAAAUGAUGACAGGAACUCUUUCCUUGGUCUGCUUACCAUAACUCAAGCUGGGGCAUCACCUAUUCUUGAGCAGUAUUAUUGAAGCCAGUUGAACUGCCUGUUAAAGUAGAAUGGGUUUUGGUUCCCAAUAUCAGAGACUGCAAAAUGAACAACUAAAGAUGGAUAUUUGCAAGCUGAAGUAUACAGUCCAUGAUUAUAGCCCUACAGUGGAUACCAGCAGCUACUUUGUUGAUCCCCUAUUGACAAAUGAUGUCUCACAUAAGCAUGCAGUUCAAAAUAUCCAUCCGAUAGAAAGAUAACUACCAGGCAAAGUAAUAAUUUUGUAACAUAAGCAUGCAGUUCUAGAUAUCGAUUUCGCUAAAAGAUGACUGAAAGUUGAGUAAUAAUUUCGUAAGUCAGCUUUGGAAUGCUGUCUGUCAUGCUUUGAGGAGCACUGCUGGGCAAUGGCGAAUCAUGCUUAUAAUUUAGCCAAGAUGAGAAUGCUGAAAUGGAUGGCCAAAAAGACAAGAUAAUAUAUUAAAACAUUAACACUUGAGAUAUUCUAGCUGAGAAUAAGAUGAGAGUCAAAUAUUAUAAUUUGUUCUGCAGAAUAAAGACCUGCGAGAAGUGACCAAAAAAGGAAGAAAAAGAGAGAGAGAGAGAGAACCCAAAAAAUGAGUUGCAAUUGUGAGAAGACAGGGCAGCCUAGAAUAGAAUAGAAACAUGGUCCAAAAUACAAUACAAUAGAUAAAAAGGCAUUCAUAGAUUGGCAAUAAAGUAAUACUGUAGAAUGGGCAGACCCAAUUGAUGGUGUGUGUAUAUAUAUAUAUAUAUACCUUUCAUAGUGACAGCAACAGCCUACUAAAAUACUUAGUGAAGGUCUCCAAGCUUAAGUAUUGAAUAGGAAAAAGAGCCAUUCAAAAGUUUACUGAAGGAAGCAGAGAUUUUAGUUUUGAACUUUCACAAAUAAAGCCAUACUCUAUUUCUAAAGCCUGCAUAAGGCAAUUUAAACUAGUGACUGAUGUUUGAAUCUAGGAAAUCUGUGAGUAGAGAUUUUUUAAUUAUGAGUUGGGAAUCUAAUUCAGAAUUCAAUCUUAUCAAAUGAAAGAUAGCAAUGGAAGAAAAAAAUAUAACACAUUCGAUGUACCUAAACAAGUCCUCAAUCCCAAAAAACUAAAGAACAAAACAUGUUGACACCUUAGGCAAGUAAAUUUUACAUAAAUGCGCAAGGGCCAUGCACAUCACAGUAAGUGCUCCAUUUAAACAUUUUAAGUUAUGGAGCAAAUCUUCUAUUCAUCCACAUGCAUACCUAGGAUCUAGUUGCAUGUUCGUACAAGUUUUAGCAUUUCAAAGUAAACUGUGAUCAACAUACACGCUACUCCUUGUCUGCAAUCAAUAACCACAAGAGACUACAAAUAAAUCAACAACUUUAAAUCUCUUGCGGUAUUUAUGAAACCCUAGAAAGUCAGACAUGCCCAGAAGUAUGAUGGUACAUAAUUUUUGUUGGCUAUGUACCAGGAAUUGUGGUCCACUUCUACCAUAGAGUUGCAUAUCAAAUUCAUCCCAAGAAAGAAAUGAAUUUCAUUAAUGUAACCAAGGUGACUGAUGAUAUUGAAAUUGAAAUUGAAAUUGAAAUCGAAAUAUUUUGACAAAAAGAAAUUUAAAUUUUCAUGUCAAUGGAAUAAAUAAUUCAGAACAUUCAUGAAAAGAACCAGAAGAUUUUCCAUUUAUAUUUCACUUGCUGGUAAUAUGAUGGAGGCAUCUAAGUACCAAAAAAUGGGCAUGAACUGAUUCAAUUUGAAUUACUUUUGAAAGAUGAUACAAACUGGGACUACAGCUACAUAUUGUACAAGACAUGGGUAUUAAAACUCCCUGACUAAUCAAUUGUCUGAAAGCCCCAUCCGCAAGAUACUACCUGUUAUGGAAAAAUAACUGAGUAAAGAUCUUUGACAGAUACUUGACAUACAAACAUCAAUGUAAUGAAAAUAAUAAUAAUAAUAACAAUUUUAUUUAUUUAUUUUUGGAUAGGAAAACAAGGAUAUCAAACAAUGCCAACAAAAAAAGGGCACACCCUAUAUACAUAUGGGGUAUAGAAGAGGCACCUCAGGUAUUGUGGUACCAAAGAAACAAAAAAGCAACACCUGGACAACAACAUAAAAAAGAGCCAGUCACUGGCCAUAGUUUAGGCUUUCUAUAAAAUUCAACAAUGAACAAUUCUCCUCUCCAACAGGACUUUAGACCAUUCCAAUGGGAUUUGAUAAGGUUCCCCUUCAACUUCUGGUCGGAAAGUCUUUCUCAAUGAAAUCAUUGUACUAUGGUCUCGCCACAUGCACCUAAACAAGUAAGGAGAGCAACACUCUAGACCUGCCUUCACCUUUUAUCCAAGCCUUGCACCUUCCAUCCCGAUGAGGAACUUUUUCACCAAAUGGGGAAACACCCACUGCAGUCCAAUAAUUGUUAAUAACAUAUCCCAUGACUAUAUAGCUCCAUCACAAUGGAUUAAGUUGUAAUCUGAAGAUUUCUCACGAACUUUACAAACACCACAUCUGUAGAUCAUCGACCAUCCAUUCCUUAGAAGGCUAUCCAUAGUUAGAAUCGUCCCCCCAUAUUGCCACCCAAGCAAAAGAGAGCAGGCUCUCAAUGGGGCACAGGUGCCCCAAAUUUCUUUGGCAGGGAACAUCUCUGAAUUCUCAGCAUAUAAUGAGUUGUAAAAAAAUUGACAAGGAAUUUCUUCUCCUCCCUCCAAAGUAAACCCUUCCCCACUGCUUCUUGCAGUCUCACAUUAUGGAUGAUCAAUCUCUGCACUUCAUACCGUCUAAUCUCUCAACUAAACUGCUUGUGCUAAAUCAGUUGGCAGAGAGACAUGGCAAGCCUAGUGUCAUGUUCUAGCAUUUUAAAGACUGGAAACUGAGGUCUCUAUCAAUAGCAAUUGACCAAAUAUAAAUCUUAUACCACACCUAUUACCAUAGAACUAUGUUGAAUAUUAAUCUACUACAACUAUUAUUCAAUUAGCAUCAGGUAAAAAUAAGCCAUUGUCUCCCAGGUACAAUCUACAAUGCCACCAGCAAAAAAAUAAAAACACCAGCUCCUCUUAUGAGAAAAGGUCAGUCCAACACAAUAUCAAUCAUGGCCACCCACCCUCAGCACCACCGGGGCCCCACUCCCAAAAAAAAAAUGAAAAAGUAAUUCAAAAUAUCAAAUGAUAAUUACCAAUAUCUAUCUAUAUAUAUAUUGAUCAGAGAUAACCAGUGCAUUGUUCUCCCUUUAACUUCAGAAAACUAUUUAAUAGUGGCCAUUAACCUAGAAAAAUAAAAUAAAAAAGAAAGCCUACUACUGUGCCAACUCAGGGCUAGUUUGGUAUACUGUAGCUUUUGAAAAAAGAACAAAUAAUGUAACUAUGUUAAAAGAAAAAUCAGCUAUUCAAGAGUGCUCUGAGUUUAAAAAAAACCAUUUAAGUAUUCGAUAAAACUGAAUUAUUAAAUUGUUGUGAACAUAUGUAAUGACAAAAGGAAAGAAAAACAGCUAUGGUUUCAAAAGUUCUGUUAGUUUCAAAAGAAACAUUUGAAGUGUUUGAUAAAACAGAAUUGUUAAGUUGUUGUGAACAUGUAUAAUGACCAAGGGAAUGUUAAAAAUGUAAUCAGUUCUCUUUAUUCUUAGGUAUACAAAGAAUCUUUAGUUAAAUAAAUCAUUGUAUCAUUCAUUUAAAAUCAACUUUAAAUAUUUUCAUUUUCUUUUCAAAAGUAGUUUCAACUUUCUAUUUUAAUUCAAUUCAAAGUAAACACAUUUAUAGUAGUAUUUUAUUUUAUAUUUUAGGAUGAGUAGUAUCAAAUAUAAAUUCCUACAAAUAUUACACACUAACAACAAAAGGGUUUGAACUAAUAUUUAGUAUCAUGCACUCACUUAAAUCAGUUUAUUAUGCAUAAUAUUAAAUAAUAAUAUCAACUAUAAAUAAAUAAAAAUAAAUCAUUAACUAGAUGCAAAUAUGAAUUUUGAGUCUAAAGUUUGUAUAUCACGGACUAUUUAAAGACAUAUUAGAUAAUUUAAAAUAUCAUUAAAGAAGAUAUCUUGAUUCUUGGAAAAUAACUUUUCAAAACCUAUCUUAUCUGAUUUUCAAAAUAGCUGUCAAAAUGGACGAGAUUCUGUGAGAAUUACAUGUCUUAAAUUUUACCAAACACGUAAGUUAAAAACAAGAGAUUAUAAGAACAGUGAUUCUAAGAGGUCUAAAUUCAAUCCCAAACAAGGCCUUAAAAAGACAAGGUAUUUCUAGUGUCAGACCUUCAGUCUUAGUGAAUGGCAUGUCUUUGGAAAAUUUUCAUUACCCAGGAGAUUUGUGGCAGGGGAACUGCUCUCUUAUGUUUUUGUGUUGGUGGUGGAGUCCUUGGGAACAUUAAUAUGAAAGUGGAAGGUAUAUUAUUCAAACACUUCAAGUUGGAGAGAAGGGAGAGCAACGAUGGAGAGUUUGCAUCUAUUAUUUGCUGAGAACACCAUUUCUUUUUGGGCAAGUGGUGAACCACUUAUGUUUUUAAAGCUAUCUUAGGUUUCAAGGUCAAUCUGGGUAAGGUUCAAGUCCCAGUAGGAGCUUGAAAAAUAAAAGGGGGUGGGGUGAUGUAGGUGGACACCCUUACAGCUUUGCUUGGGUAUUAAGGUGGGCCACUUCAGUUUUCUUAUUGGCUUGUCAAGUGCUCCUUUCAGAUCUAGAGGAGCCUGGGCAGUAAUUAGGCAAUUUGAGAAAUAGCUAGUUUCAUGGAAUGGGCAAUAUUUAUCUAGGAGUGUGGAAUCACUCUUAUUCAGAGCAUCCUUUUGAAUUUUCCCAUGUACUUUAUGUUCUUUGUACCACUGACAUCAGUUUGCUUGAUGUCAUGGAAACUCCAAAAGGAUUUCUUUAGGAAGGAGUUAAGAAGGGUAGUAUAUCACAUUUCAUGAACCAGGAGACUAGUAUUGCAUCAAAGAAAAUGGGUAGAUUGGGAUUAGCAACUUUCUGGUUCGUAAUAAAGUUUUUCUUGGUAACUGGAUCUUGAGAUUUGUAGGGGUUACAGGGUAAGUAUUGGAUAAAGGUGGUGGGAAAGUUCAAGAGUUGAAGAGGAUGUUGUUCACAGGAUUCAUAGGAACUUUUAGGGCAGAGCCUUGGGAAACCAAUUGGGAAAGAUUGGGAUCUCUUUCAGGACAUGGCCCUUUCGAAGGGCAAUGGGAUGAAGCAUGAAGUUUCAGCUUGAUAUGUAGUGUGGAAAGGUAAAAGCCUGAAGGCUCACUUUUCAUUUCAUUUUGCUUUGCUAGUUGAUAGGGAUGCAUAGGUAGCUAUUUAUUGGUAUUGGAUGAUGGUUCCCACCAAUGGUUCACCAGAAGCUUCUAUGUUUGGGACUUUUGGAAGAGGUGGGAAGUUUUUUGGUUUGCAUUUAUCAAAGGUGACAGCAGUUUGAGAGAGGAUCAUUAGUUAGAAGAUAUUCCAAGAAAGGAGUUUUCUUGGUUAAAUGUUUUUUCAAGACACCAUUGCCAUGGCUUAGUCUUUGCUUCUCCAUCUCAAUUGUAUGGACCUUGUGCACCAUCCAGGGUUGGCUGCAGGAAGCUGAUGGGGAGAAGACACUAUCAACUAGUAGAUGCGAGGAGUUGUACCUUGUGAACUAAUUAGAAGCGGCUAGGGCAAAUAAGGAGGGAAAGGAAACACUAAGCGGUUUGUCUCUGUACCACUUGUCCUUUCAAAACCUCACUCUCCGACCAUUACCCAUUGAGAAAGAAAUUUUGUUACUCAAAAGAUCCCACUCCUUUCUUAUGGUCUUCCAAAGGCUAACACCAUGACCACCCCUCAGCUCGCAAGAUCGCCACCCCUCAUAAUCUUUACCAUACUUCCGGCUGAUAACUUGCUUCCACAACACCCCCCUUUUUACAGCAAAGGGCUAACUCCACUUACAAAGGAGAGCUUUGUUCAGUAUUGAAAGGCUCCUCAUGCCCAAAUCUCCCUUCCUUUUACCUGAAUAAAUAGUCAUCCACCUUACUAAGCAAGGUUUUUGCACGAGAGUCCCACUUCCCCACAAAAAUCCCUUUGAAUUUUCUCUAACAUCAAUUUAACUAGCCUUGGGGUGCAGACUAAAGACAUGAAGUAGAUAGACAUACUAGAAAGAGUGCUUCGAAUCAAAGGAAGCCUCUCCUUUUAAAAUAUAUUGUCUUUUCCAUAUGACCAGCCUUCUGCAGAACCUCUCUUCCACCCCAUCCUAAGUUGCCACGGGUUUGAAGGGAGGCCCCAGAGGAAGACCCAAGUAAGAGGAAGGGACAAUGUCCACCUUGCAACCCAACUCCAAGGCCAAGUCAUCUAAAUUAUCCACACAUCCAAUAGGAAUCAACUCACUUUUGUCCAAAGUGAUUCUCAAACCUGAAAUGGCCUUGAAAAGCAUAAGCAACCAGCUCAAAUAAGUUAUAUGAUCCUGUGACGCUUCGCAAAAGGCAAGAGUGUAUAAUUGAAAAAUUAUAUUCUUCAUUUCUUGUAUUGUAGCAUUUGAGAUGUGGGCCAUAGUGUUCUUUUGGUGUUAUUGAGUUUCCUUCUUCAAUCAAGAGUACCAUGCUAUCCAGGCAUGACAGUUUUACAAGGAAUGAUAGGAGAAACAUCUGGAGGACUGCAACAUUGUAAUUUUCUUGUGUAUUUGGAAGAAAAGAAAUUGGAAGGAGUUUGAAGAAUUAGCACUCUCCAUAGUGAAGUUUAAAGCUUCUUUCUCUACAUAUUGGUGCAUCCAGAAGAAAACAAAUAGGAAGGAGUUUUGAUAUUCACAGUUAGGAAGUCUUUUCAUAUUCAUGAUCUUUGGAAUCUCAAAGGAAAAAAAGUAUAGACUCUUCUUGAGUUUGUUGAUAGGAGGGGGUAGCUUUUAGCUUUGUCCAGAUUUCCUCGUAUAUGUCCUGGUAUAUUAGGGUUUGCUUCUUACUGGCACUUCCCAAUACCAUUUUUUUAACUGAUUAUUAAAAAAAAAAAAAGAAAGCCAAAAAACUUCAUUUUCUUCAUUUUUACCUUCUCCCAUCUUUGCUUUUCCCCCAGCCCCAUUCAUUCUCCCUAUGCUAUGUAUUAUAUAUGACAAGCAUUGAAUAAUCAGAUAAUAACCUUCCACUUUUCUCAUAUAAAUAUGCAAGAGUACCUUCUAUUUAUUUAAUCAAAUGUAUAGUAUUAUGAAUGGCAUAGGAUGAUUCAUUAGAUCAAGCAAUUCCCAUCAAUGUCUAUCAUUAUAAGGAGAUUUUGAAGUACAAAGCUUUUUCCACAGUGUGUAAGGCUUGAAGCUAGAUGGGUAAAUGCACACAUACAUGUAGACAAUGACUUCGACCUGCUUAUACUACUAAACUCUAUGAGCCCCCUAUUCUGAAUGAGCAGCUAUCAUUAACAUAAGAACAGUGCUUGGAAAGGAAAUGGAACAGGUUCAACAUGUAUACCCACCUGAUCAAAAAGAGCACCAUGGAGCUACAGCAACAAAACCCUAACGACAAUAUAAUGUCAAGUAAAAAAUAUCCACUACUGGGUCAACUGAAAAAAGGUUGGAAAAGCCCAUUGAAUUUAUCAUAGAACCAUCUGCAAAAGAAAGUUGUUAUCUCAUAAGAAAAAGUCAAGAUAAGAUAAUUCAUGCUCCAAUUAAGUAAAAGCAGAGACGAUAUAAGCAAACAAACUCUAAAUUGUCUUUGCUACCAUGGUAGGACAACUAAAUUAAUCAACACAACCACAUGUAACCCAAUUCUAAAAGUCAAAUCUGAAGCAUUUGCUUAGGAUCCAUUCAGUAUAAAAAAAGUAUUGUCGGAACAAUUAUUUAAGGGUAGACAAUUGGGUAUUCAUACAAUAUUAGUAUAUGCACCUCCACAAUGUUUCCAGCACAAACUUAAGUACAUAUUCUGCAGUAUGGUCUUUAACAUUUAUUAGGUAGUAAUACCAAUGAGUUAGGCAUGAACUGAAUUUAUCUAGAAUUUGCAAGAAAGAGAGAAUAAUUGAACUAUUAAUAACAAUCGACACAAAAAACUUUGUACGGUGAAUGCUUAAAAGUCUCUGGCUGGGUAUGGUAAAUGGGCUUAUAAUUCGAUAGGAUACCAUUCUGUUGCUGAAAUUUCAUUAAUCAUGGCUGAUUUUAAAUUAAAACUUCAUUUUCCCAUGCUUGCCAAUUUUUAGGUAUUCAAAGUAAUUUAAAUAUUACUACCAUGAUAGUAUCUCUCUAUCAAAGUUCUUUUCAUUGACUUUGUUAUAUUACACAGAUUUCCUGGAGAUUUAAAUGCAUCAAAUAUUCUGUUUGACGUGUGUUUUGGGUGAUUUAAUUAGCAACCAUGUAAUAACAGGAAAAUUGCAUAGGUACUUUCACAGCUACAUCAUAAUCAAGAUCCUUCCAGAACAUGAGAUAAGACUAUUAAUUCAAACAUUCUCACUUAUAAAUUGGGCAACUUUAUUCAACUAAAUAGAUACAAUGGUCUUUGGGAAAUGUCACAUAUUAGGAAGUAAGAAAAUUAGACAAGGUAUUACUCCUAAAGGCAAAUGAUGCAAUAUAAAAACUAUAUACAGUGAUCUUCUGGACACAUUAUAUUUGGAGUAUUAAAAUUACACAAGGUAUUGUCCCCAAAAGCAAAUGUUGCAGGUAUUACCACAUUAUGUAAUAUAUAAUAUCCCUUCUCAUUAAUCAACAUCCACCCUACCCUUGGCAAUGGACCUUUUAUUUCGUCUAUAUGCUUUGCCCCUCAAUCUCCCUUUAAUCUCUUAGCAACAAAAGGGUGGUAUGCACAAUAAUUACCUUGCAUUACUUGAGAGAGAGUAAUUAUCGUAGGGGAAGGUGAUUACUAUAGAGAACUCCUCCCACUAUUUGUGCUAAUGUGCACUUUAUGGAUUGUAUUUAUGUUGUUUGAAAUUACUCCUUUCUACUUUAGUUGAGUGAUGGCCCGGUGAUUUGAACAAUUAGUCCCCAUUGAGAUUAGAACAGUUCCUAGUGUCAAAAGAUUGGGGUAACUAUUUCAAUGGACUGUUGCAACGUGUUUCACCACACCAGUUUCAGAUCAUUUGCUCCUUUUGUUAGAGGGGGUGGUGUGAGCAGAGGCAAAGCACCGGAAAUGUUUAGAAUAAGGAGAUGGGUCAAACUCAAGGCCUAGAAUAAGGAGAUGUUUGGAAAAGUUUCAGUUAAGAAGGAAGACGCCUUUUAUCUGUUGGGUUUUUAAGAUUCCAAGGAGCAAGAAGCUGUCCUUUCUGUUGUGUUGGGAAUUAAUGGGUUCCAACCAUGAUGGGGCUCUUUGUUUGAGAAGCAGCACGGGAGAGGGUUUUGACAUUGGACUAGCCAUAAAAGAGAUGAUAGACUUUGGUGAGUAAGUGCAAUUUAUGCAAAGACAAAAUAAAAGCAAUGGAUCACAUUCUUUCUUCGUUAGGCAGUCUAUGGUAAAGCAAAGAUUUUAUAAUGAUCAGUUCUCUCUUUGUUUGGCUUUGCAUACAUCUCGUCUUCACUGGAUCAUCAUGCUCUCCUAGGUUGAAGAGGUGGGCAAAAAGCAAAAGAAGACUUGGAAAGCUACUGCAGCUUUGUUAUUUUUAGACUAUUUGGAAGGAAAAAAAAAAUUAUAGAUCAUCUGAAAGUGUGGCGCUGACGGAUAAAGCACAUAUCUUUGUUUCUUUGUACUCUCUUGAUGUGAGUUAGGAGGUUAGUAAAUGAGACGUCAAUGUCUAUGGUAAAUUUUAUAGAUUGACUAAGUUUUUGUUAAGGGGAGGGAGCUUUAUUAAUUUAUUUUUUAUUUUUAUUUUUUUACCCUUAUAUUUUGACUUGCAUAUUAAUUUUUUAAACUAGUCUGAUUAUACUAAAAAUGGGUUGUCUUUUUCUAAUAGGUAAAAGCAGCAGAAAAUUUUAUAAAUGAAGAGAAAAGGUUGCCCAAAGGCCAACCAAAAGCAUACAAAAAGUAUACAGUAGGCACCAAAAGGCAAAAGCAACAAAAAAUAAGAGAUACAAAAAAUCUCACCCGCCCUCACCUAGAACCCAACCAAUCACAAAAGUUGAUUAAAGGUAAAGGUCCAUCAACUAUAUACAACUUAGUCCAAGACCAAAAACUGCACACAAAAGAAUUCUUCACCCUAUGUAUUGAAAGCUCUUCAUUAUAAAAAACGAUCCUAUUUCUUUCCUUCCACACCGCCCAAAAAAGGCAUAACGGAGUCCAGCAUCCAAUCCUUUUUACACUUCUUGCCUACAAAGGACCCAUGCCAACCAAGUAGAGCUUCCCUAACCGAGAAUGAAAGAACCCAUGUCACCCCAAAGAGAGCAAAUAAUAACUCCCACAAAACCCUAGUGUUUGUGCAAUGGAUUAAAAUGCGAUUAGACUAAAAAUGGGUUGUCUUAAUAUAAUAGUAUAGAUUACCAAAGUUUAAAAAAUAAAUAAAGUAAAUAAUAUAGCAAAAAAAAUAAAUUCAAUGUUCAUUAGUUUCUAUAUUUCUUGAGGUCUUGAUGACCUCAAGAUGGAGAGGACGAUUGAUGUACAACAUGGAUCACGUUAGGGAUAGCAAUAUAGCAGAUAUGGAAAUGAGCAUCCCCACCCCAACGCUGCCUUGGAGGAAGAAAACUCAACCAACCUAACAAGGGAGGGUCCUGUGCCUGUUUCUGAAUGAUCCUGCAUGACAAAGACUAACUGGCACACUUCAAAGAAUGUACAUUUUCAAAAUUCUUCAUGAAAGUGUAGAACUGAUCUAACUUUUAUAACCGUUCAUCCCUAAUUACACAAAGAUAUGACACACCUUCAAGCAGGAAAUUUUAACAAGGCAACAUGACUCAUUCACACAUGCACCGUGCAGAUUCACAUCAUGCAUCUAUUCUGUCAGAGCAAUUGUAAGUAUCAACAAAGUAUUUGGAUCAAAUAUAAGAGGUGACAACACAUACUUGCAUAGGAAGAUCGGCCAUAAUCCAUCAUUUGCCUCAGUCCCUAAAAGUGUUCUUCUUUCACUUUCUUCCUUAAACUUGUCUGGAGGAAGAACUUCACAUGGACCUUGAAUCAAGCCAGCCGUUAUGGCACUAUCGUGAUUAGAUUCAUAGACCUAACCAAAGGAACAAGGAAUUCACAUGAACUUUAAUGUGGACAACACAAACUCUCUGCUAAAAUGCCAAUCCACAGGGACAAAAUUCCACUACAUCAACAAUGUUCACUAAAUGACAUGUGAACAAAGGGAGUGCAAUGCUUCAAGCAGUAUCUGUGUGUUUAUCAGUCCAAUGCACAUCCUAGUUUGAAUUCCCUUUGCAUGGUUAUAUGAUAAAAUCUUAAGGCCUGUUUGAGAACGUUUUCGAAAAUAGUUCCCAAAGAACAGUUUUUGAAGAACACUACUCAAUUGCUUUCAGGUACAAAAUUCUGUUUGGGAUCUUACAUACAAAAAACAAUUUUCUUGGCUUGUUCACCAAGAAGAUACUACACACUUAUGCACAAUACAAAAAUUUUCAAAGCAUUCUACAUAUUUUUAAUUAUUACACAAAAUACUCUACAAAGAAUAACUGAAAACAUCUAAAAUUUGUUAUUAAAAACAACCUGCUUUUAGAACAGAUUUUAAAAAGUUGUUCUGUCAAAAGUUUGCUAAAUGUGUUUUUUAAGCUAGAAAAUUGUUUUCGAAAACAAUUUCCAAACAGGCCCUUAGAAAUUUGGGAAGAUAGAUGGUUUUAUAGUGUUGACACUAUGCCAACCGUUCAUCUACAUGACAGAUAGUCCACAUCACACUUCCAUUAUAUGCAUAAACACAAGGGAAAAAAAACAAAAAUUUAUCACAAAAACUAUUCACCUCAUUGCUUUCCGGAGCACUCGGGCGACCAACAACCUCUGGCAAGUCACUAGGAAAGUAGCAUUGAUUGGCCAUCACCCAUUUUGACCUAGUCUUGCUAUCCUCCCACAUGCCCUGCAGGAAAAGGUAAAAACAUUUCCCAUAUAAAAUAUCCUAAAAGGAAUAACAAUUCUCCAGAAGGCAUCAAAUAUAGUACAUGGUUCCUGUCAGAAACUAACAGAAAAUUUACAAUGUCUUAAUGCUACAGUAGUAACAGAGACAAAAUUAUGUUAUUACUGGUAUAAUUCUAUGAGAAUAACUGCUAGAAGAAUCAUUGAAUGCUUGAUGAAUGGCUUGCCUGAAGCUUAAAUGGUAUCAAUUUGUCAUUGCUGGAAUGAAAGAGAGCAUGAUCCAGCACUUUAUAUGAUACUCCAUUGAUGCAACAAGACUGGUAAAAUGUCUUCUCCUCUACAACUCUAAGUACGUCGCCAAUCCAUUGAACAUCAUGCAAUCCAUCUGGAGAAAAUCCAGUAGGCUCUUUAGCCCCUGCACUAGUCCCAGAAGUUCCAACAGAACUUGCCUGUGCAACAUCUUGGUCAUCUCGCUUAAUAUCAUAUGUUAGGUUACAAUCAGAAGUUCCUCUUGUAUAAGUUUUUUCUGAGUCUUUAACCAUAGUGUUGUUGUCAUGAUAAUUCUUUGAUGGAAUUUCAGCACAGUUUGUCAGCCUAGUACUGUCAACAUCUUGUGGGUUAUGUGAGACUUGUAAAUGAUGGGACAUAUCACUAAUCGCAUCAGAUAAUUUGGGGGGCUGUGGAUCUGGUUUAGGAACCAGUCUCUCUUCACGUGAGGAUGAUUCAGAAAUUUUACUGUGUUGAGUAGAUGUCUCAUUUGAUGAGGCAAUAGAUAGAGAACCACAAGCUGCCCCCAAGGACUUGAUUGAGUUAUUAGGGUAAGUUCCAGAAGAAGGCUUGUCAUCCACAUUUUUGAUACUUGAUGAGGAAUUAUUCACUUGCACUUGACUUGCAUUCAAUGUCUUUGAAUCAGAUGCCAACUCAAUAUGGUUGUUUACCAGGGAACCAUUAUGACCCUGUAAAUCAGAAUUUCCAUUUUCUGUUAUCUUCUGUUGAUCCAGAAUCCCAACUUUCUUCUCUGAAGAUGGCUGCACUCCAGCUGCACUAAUAGGCCCUUUUGGUGUGUUCAUAUUUCUCAUAACACGACCAUAUUUAGGGGGCAAAGGCUUCCCACUACUCAGCGACAAGCACUUUGGGCAAUGCCACUCGCCUCUAGGAAUUCCUUUGUGAUUGUAUGACUGAAGGCAUUUUAAAUGAAAUCCUCUUUCACAUGCAUCACAAAGAAGUACGUUUUCCACCUCAUUAAUGGUGAGCUUGCAUAUCUGGCAAGUCACAGCCUUAUUCAUGUAAUCCCUUGAAGGAGGAUUCCAUGUGGGAUGCUGAGGAAGCUGUGGAUGUAAUAACUUCUGAACAAUUUUACCAAUUUCAUUGUGAUUACUGGAAAGGGAAGACGGUUGAAAGUUGUUGCCCAGUAACAGCUGCUGUGUGCUUUGCAAAUGUCCAGGUGUAGUAUGAGUAACAAAUGAUCUAGAGUUCUGAUCUCUUGUUGAUUGAGGAGCCAUUCUUGACGAACUAAUAUCAGCAGCCCCCUCAACCCUAGCAGCAAUAUGAUCCUGCACCUUGUUCUCUGGCCCAGUUUUCACUGAUGAAACAGAUUGUGGUUGUAAGGACCAGGUUGGAGUUUUUGCCGGAAAGUGAUCAACAGAAGAGUUUGCUGCUGACAGUUUAUAUGCGCAUAUAACAAUCAGAAAAAUCCAACAAAGAAAAACGAGUAAAGAAGACUAAAGGUGAUAAGAUGGUAAUAGAAAAAAACUAAAUUUCUUGGGAAAAAAUGAGACCUACCCUAAUUCCAAGAUAGCACAAGCUAAGAACAAACUUGGUUAAAUAUCACCAGUAGCCUAGGACCCUAACAAACCACCCCCCCCCCCCCCCCCCCUAUCGCACACCUCUCUUUUUGUUUCCUGAAACAUCACUACAUCCGGAUUCUGAAGCCGCAGAAAAUCCUUAACCACCCUCCUCUUUGUCCUAGAUCCCAACCCCCUUACAUUCCAACUUAUGAUCUUCAUAAAAACACCUCACUGCACCUAUAACUCCAGACCAUCGCCACCAAAUCUCAAUUGCCUAUGGCAAUUCUGUUCUUUCGUCUUGAGUACACCUUAAUAUCUAAGGAACUCAAGACUUCACAAACUUUAGCCAUCUUGCUAGGGGAAAGACCUUCUAUUUGGAAUCCACUCAUCUGGGAGAAAUCUGAGUCUCCCUUGCUUAUUGCGCCCAGAAUAGGGACCCCGUGAGGCGAGCUGGAAUUGGUCGUAUCAUAGUUAAAGCUCUUAGACAUCAGAUUCAUUCCAGCCAUCUGGGACUCCACUGCAACAAGAUUAUGAUUGCCAGCAUUUAAUCUAUCCUUUUGACAAUUUCUUGGAAAGCUUUUUUUCCUUAAAUAUGUUGCAUUUUUUUGCCAUUUACUAACAGAGGGGUGAUGAGCUCGGAUGAUGAAUUUGUAUUUAGUUUGUUAUAUUAUUAAUGCAUUGUCUANNNNNNNNNNNNNNNNNNNNNNNNNNNNNNNNNNNNNNNNNNNNNNNNNNNNNNNNNNNNNNNNNNNNNNNNNNNNNNNNNNNNNNNNNNNNNNNNNNNNCCCUUUUUUUUGGGCCCAUUUUUUAAAGGAAAAAAGAGUUGGGGUUUUAGGGCCCGGGUUGGUUUUUUUCCCGAAAAAUUAACAAAAAAAGGAUUUGGGGGGGGCAUUUUUUGGGGCGUAUAACAACUGAAAAAAUCCCCAAAAAAAAAAAGGGUAAAAAAGGUCUAAGGGGUUAAAGGGGGUAAAAAAAAAAAAAAAAUUUUUUGGGAAAAAAAGGGGCCCCCCCCUAUUUCCAAAAAGCCCCAAAUAAAAAAAAAAUUUGUUUAAAUUCCCCCGGGGGCCGGGGCCCCAAAAAACCCCCCCCCCCCCCCCCCCCCCCCCCCCAAAUUCCCCUACAGAAGGAGAAAAAAGAAGAGAAAAAAAGGAAAUAAAAUUGAAUAAACUCAGCUGGGUGGUCAUUGCAAUCCUUGAAAUUAUUGCUAAUGGUCUAAGCAAAUAUGUUCAACCAAAUAAUGGCAAUAAGAUGGCAAAUUUUUUUUCAUUUUUAUUUUUCCUUCUUUGGGAAAGAAAUCUAACACAACAUUAAUUCUGAAAUACUAGAAAAGAAGGGUGACAUAUGGAAAAUAUCACCAGUAAGCUAUGCCCUACCAAACAAACCAGACCCCCACUUUGCAAAAGCUACCCCCGCACAAAAACAAAAGACCAAAAAAAAACAAAAAACAAUACAAAAACAAAAAAAAAUGCGGAAAAGGGAAGAAAAUUGAAAAAGAAACAAUCAGAUAUCAUUACAAUCCUUGUAAUAUCCAAACAACAUGUUCAAACAACUAAUUAUGCCCAGAAGGAAUAGGAAAACAAGGAAAAGGGAAGAAAAUUGAGAAGAAAAGGCCGGGUAUCAUUAGAAUCCUUGUAAUUAUUGCUGACAAUCCAAAGAAACAUGUUCAAGCAAUGAAUAAUGCAUAUUCACCCAGAUUUUAGUCAAAAACUCAGAGCCGAGAUGUUUGUUGGUAUAGACAAUAAAACCUAAAAUCAGCACAAAAAUCACUUCAACAAUAAAGGCAUUCCAACAUGGAAAAAAAACAAGUAUUUGUGUACUAGUAUUUUUUUUAGGUUCCCUUUUUUUUUGGGCUGUUUUUUCAUUUUUGUUUUUUUGCUUUUUUUAAUUUAUUCUUUUUUUGGCUGUUACACUGGAUUGAUCUUGGCAACUCACCUAUCCCCAUCCCAAUCCCUUGAACAACAUCUUAAGAGCCAUUUUGUACUAUUAUCAUCUAGGUGUUCCCCAAUUCUCUUCAUGGAUAUUUUUAGAUUCUGUAAAUAAUAACAAAAAUUACAGGUUUCGGGUGCUUCUGAUAUAGAGGAAAAGAAAGUUGAUUUUCCACCGGUCUUUCAUGUUUUUAUUGGGGCAAGAAAAUGAAACAACAAGUAAUACCUUGUACUUGAGAUGGAUAAGGAGACCCAUUUGGCCUUCCAUCCAAUCUGAAAUGUGUUCUUUCAACUCUGGGCAAUGAUAAAGAAGAAGAAGAAUCCCUUCCCAAAUUGCUGGUUGCUAAUCCACUUGAAGCUAUAGAUGACCUUACUUCAUUGGGGGGCAACUGAUAUGGUAAAGGAGUAGUAGUUGCUGCGGAAACAUUCCCUAAAGGUGAAGCAGGUUGAAAACCUCCAGAAGAAAUUGGAGGAUGACCGGGUUUAUCUGAUGGAAACAUACGCGCAGUAUGUUGGGGCCCACGGCUUUCAGUUGGAGAACCAAAGGUUGAUUGCAACCGUUGAGAUGAAUAUGUAGCAGAAUGGGCCACAAAUUCCUUGGAUUCUUCCAUCUAUAGAGAAAAAAACACAAAAGCAUUAGGGAAUACCAGAAAAAACAAAUAGCAAAAUAAAUAUGUAUGUAGCACAUCAAUCUGUCAAAGCACAGUACAUAUAGAAUAAGGAUGCAAUUCAUAAAGCAUAUCCUGAUGAUCCAAACCAGUCUUAGAUAAGAAAAAAUAAAAGCCUUCAUUAAUUAAGCAAGGAACAAGUGCCCUCUAGUCACGAGCUUACAUGUAGACAAUGCAUUAAUAAUAUAACAAACUAAAUACAAAUUUCAUCAUCCGAGCUCAUCACCCCUCUGUUAGUAAAUGGCAAAAAAAUGCAACAUAUUUAAGGAAAAAAAGCCUUCCAAGAAAUUGUCAAAAGGAUAGAUUAAAUGCUGGCAAUCCUAAUCUUGUUGCAGUGGAGUCCCAGAUGGCUGGAAUGAAUCUGAUGUCUAAGAGCUUUAACUAUGAUACGACCAAUUCCAGCUCGCCUCACGGGGUCCCUAUUCUGGGCGCAAUAAGCAAGGGAGACUCAGAUUUCUCCCAGAUGAGUGGAUUCCAAAUAGAAGGUCUUUCCCCUAGCAAGAUGGCUAAAGUUUGUGAAGUCUUGAGUUCCUUAGAUAUUAAGGUGUACUCAAGACGAAAGAACAGAAUUGCCAUAGGCAAUUGAGAUUUGGUGGCGAUGGUCUGGAGUUAUAGGUGCAGUGAGGUGUUUUUAUGAAGAUCAUAAGUUGGAAUGUAAGGGGGUUGGGAUCUAGGACAAAGAGGAGGGUGGUUAAGGAUUUUCUGCGGCUUCAGAAUCCGGAUGUAGUGAUGUUUCAGGAAACAAAAAGAGAGGUGUGCGAUAGAAGGUUUGUAGGUAGUGUCUGGUCGGUUAGAAAUAAGGAGUGAGCUAUUCUUCCGGUGUGUGGGGCUUCAGGAGGGAUUUUGAUCAUUUGGGACUCAAAAAAGAUGAGAGGUGAGGAGGUGGUAAUAGGAUCCUUUUCCGUCUCAGUCAAGUUCUUGUUGGAUGGAAGCGGACCAUUGUGGUUGUCUGCAGUCUAUGGUCCAAACAAUCCCUCAAUUAGGAAGGAGUUUUGGGUGGAGUUGUUAGACCUUUUUGGUCUUACUUAUCCCUCAUAGUGUGUUGGAAGUGACUUCAAUGUGAUAAGGAGAAGAUCAGAAAAACUGGGGGGAUCUGGAGUCACUUCCAGCAUGAGGGAUUUUGAUGGUUUUAUAAGAGAAAGCGAAUUACAUGAUCCCCCAUUAAGGAAUGCCUCUUUUACUUGGUCAAACAUGCAGGAGUCACCGGUGUGUAAGAGAUUGGAUCGGUUUCUCUAUUCAAAUGAGUGGGAGCUUUCCUUCCCUCAAAGCCUUCAAGAAGUUCUUCCUAGAUGGACAUCGGAUCACUGGCCGAUUGUCUUGGAUACUAAUCCGUUCAAGUGGGGACCAACACCUUUUAGGUUUGAGAAUAUGUGGUUGCAACAUCAUAAUUUCAAAGAGAGCUUUAGCAGUUGGUGGAGAGAAUUUGAAGGAGAUGGUUGGGAAGAUCACAAGUUCAUGAGGAAGUUACAAUUCGUUAAGGCAAAAUUGAAAGAUUGGAAUAAGAAUACUUUUGGAAUGCUUAAGGAAAGGAAAAAAACCAUAUUGGAUGAAAUAGCUAACAUUGAUGCCAUUGAACAAGAAGGGGCUCUCUCUUCUGAUCUUGCAGCUCAAAGAGUUAUAAGAAAAGGGGAGUUAGAGGAGCUAAUUUUAAGGGAAAAAUUCAUUGGAAACAAAAAGCUAAGAUAAAAUGGGUUAAGGAGGGGGAUUGUAACUCAAAGCUGUUUCAUAAAGUGGCUAAUGGGAGACGUAACAAGAAUUUCAUCAAACUCUUGGUGAAUGAAAGAGGUUUGGUGUUGGACAGUUCCGAGAGCAUCACAGAGGAGAUAUUACUAUAUUUCAAGAAGCUUUACUCAAGUCCUCCUGGCGAGUCUUGGAGAGUAGAAGGUAUUGAUUGGUCCCCUAUUUCAGAAGAGAGUGCUUUUAGGUUGGAUUCCCCUUUCGCCGAAGCAGAGAUCUUUAAUGUCAUCUUUCAGUUAGAUAGGGAUAAGGCGCCGGGGCCUGAUGGUUUCACCAUAGCAGUAUUUCAAGACUGUUGGGAUGUGAUCAAGGAAGACUUAGUGAGGGUGUUUGCAGAGUUUCACAAUAGUGGGAUUAUUAAUCAAAACACUAAUGCUUCCUUCAUAGUCCUUUUGCCUAAAAAGAGUCAGUCAAAGAAGAUUUCGGAUUUUAGACCUAUUAGUCUGAUCACUUGUCUAUAUAAGAUGAUAGCAAAAGUAUUGUCAGGGCGUCUAAGAGGAGUCCUACAAGAGACCAUCCACUCCACUCAAGGUGCUUUUGUACAAGGGAGACAAAUUCUGGACGCAGUUCUUAUAGCUAAUGAGAUUGUGGACGAGAAAAAGCGAUCAGGGGAGGAGGGAGUUGUGUUCAAGAUAGACUUUGAAAAGGCUUAUGACCAUGUGAAAUGGGAUUUCUUAGAUCACGUGUUGGAGAAUAAGGGUUUUAGUUCUAAAUGGAGGAGUUGGAUGAGAGGUUGUCUGUCGUCGGUAUCUUAUGCUAUUCUAGUGAACAGUAAUGCUAAAUGAUGGGUCAAGGCAGCUAGAGGUUUAAGACAAGGUGACCCUUUAUCCCCUUUCCUAUUCACUAUUGUUGCAGAUGUGUUGAGUAGAAUGUUGUUGAAAGCUGAGGAAAGAAAUUUGCUAGAGGGCUUCAGGGUAGGUAGAAAUAGAUGUAGGGUGACCCAUUUGCAAUUCGCAGAUGAUACUAUCCUAUUUGCUAACCCUAGAGAGGAAGAAUUGCAAACUCUUAAGAGUUUAUUGUUAGUGUUUGGUCAAAUAUCUGGGCUAAAGGUCAAUCUUGACAAGAGUAAUCUUUUUGGCAUCAACCUUGAUCAGAAUCAUCUUUCUAGGUUAGCGUUGCUGCUUGACUGCAAGGCUUCAGAUUGGCCCAUUCUUUAUCUGGGUCUUCCUUUGGGAGGGAACCCAACUGCUUGUGGAUUCUGGGAUCCAGUGAUUGAGAGAAUCUCUAGGAGAUUAGACGGAUGGCAAAAGGCUUACUUAUCUUUCGGUGGUAGGAUAACUCUCCUACACUCUUGCCUUUCCCAUAUCCCUAGCUACUUCUUUUCCUCGUUUAAGAUUCCAGCUUCAGUGGCUGCAAAAAUCGAGAGGAUACAAAGGGACUUUCUAUGGUCAGGGGUUGGGGAAGGUAAAAGAGAUCAUCUUGUUAGGUGGGAAGCUGUGUGCAAGUCGAGGGUUAUAGGGGGUUUGGGGAUUGGGAAGAUUCCUUUAAGGAAUCGUGCUCUUCUAGGGAAAUGGUUGUGGAGGUUCCCUAGGGAGAGUACAUCUCUUUGGCAUCAAGUCAUUCUUAGCAUAUACGGGACACACUCAAAUGGUUGGGAUGCCAAUACUAUAGUCAGAUGGUCACACCGCUGUCCUUGGAAGGCCAUAGCACAAGGCUUUCAGGAUUUUUCCAAGUAUACUCGGUUUAUCGUAGGAGAUGGGGAAAGAAUUCGCUUUUGGGAAGAUUUGUGGUGGGGGGACCAAACUUUAAAAGACCAAUAUCCAAUACUAUUUCGAGUAGUAAUGGAUAAAAAUAUUCCAAUUUCUUCAAUACUUGGUUCAUCUCGCCCUUUCUCAUGGAACUUUAAUUUCCGUCGUAAUCUAUCCGAUUCCGAGAUAGAAGAUCUGGAACGCCUCAUGCACUCUCUAAAUUGUAUGAACUUAUCCACUUCCGUUUCAGAUGUGAGAUCAUGGUCCUUAUGUUCUUCAGGUUUGUUCACAGUCAAAUCUUUCUUUACAGCCCUGUCCCAAAUGCUUGAUUCAUCUCCAUUUUUCCCCACUAAGUUUGUUUGGAAAUCUCAAGUCCCUUUCAAAGUUAAGGCCUUUAUCUGGCUUGUGGCACAUAAGAAGGUGAAUACCAAUGACUUGCUACAAUUGAGGAGACCCCACAAAGCUAUUAGCCCUGACAUAUGUAAGUUGUGUAUGGAACAAGGAGAAUCAGCAUAUCAUCUCUUCCUCCAUUGUUCAGUGACGUUGGGGUUGUGGCACAGACUUUUUCAGCUAGCCAAGAUGGAUUGGGUUCCUCCGAAAAGCAUUUCGGACAUGAUGUUCAUCAAUUACAAAGGAUUUGGCAAGUCCAAGAGAGGGGUAAUUCUAUGGCAAAAAGCGAGUAUAGCGUUAAUCUGGGUUGUGUGGCGGGAAAGAAACGCUAGGAUAUUUGAGGACAAGGCUAGGAAUUCAGGGAAUCUUUGGGAUUCCAUUCAUUUCCUUGCGUCCUUUUAGGCGUUUUGUUCAGCGGGUUUUAAGGGCACCCCCCUUAACGUAUUACAACUUGAUUGGCUAUCAGUGUGUAGUUCAAGUAGUUCCAAUGAGACGACCUAGUGUAUUGUUAUUUUUUCAUGUUGUUUAGUUUUUCUUUUGGAGGGAGGAUUCCUCAUCCUCCUUUUGUACUUCUUUUCUAUCAAUAUAUUCUUGUGUGGUUUCUUAUCUAAAAUAAAAAAAAAAUAGAUUAAAUGCUAGAAGGAUUUAUGCUGAUUAAUUAAUGGUGCUGGAAUGUCAACAAUCUAUCACAGAGAUUUGUCCCUCAUUCAAAUUGGACAAGAGUGAAACUUAGGUUGAUGAAUGAAAUUCUAAAGCCCCUGAUGUCAAGUAUAAGUAUAUCCAUUCUCACACAACAACAGAAACCUUAACUUUUUUGACAGGCCAAUUAAAUUAUUCUAAAUGGACACAUAGCAAAAAAAAGGGUGUGAUCAAAGUACACAAGAUGCAUGCAAAGAGAACUAAAGCCCAAAA
RNAcentral lists this long non-coding RNA (56277 nucleotides) under Vitis vinifera (wine grape). RNAcentral describes it as "long non-coding RNA (VVIN_LNC006487)". Lineage: Eukaryota; Viridiplantae; Streptophyta; Magnoliopsida; Vitales; Vitaceae. The record is from RNAcentral.